GUAACUUUCGUUAUUUUAUUCAUCAGAACAUAAGCCUAUUAAAUAGGCAGAACAUCCAAACCACUUAGCAAGAAAAUAGCUAUAGAACAACAACAACAAAGACCCACUAACAUACCCCACUAACCAGAACAUAUGCAGAAACUAACUCCUAAAAACAAGCCACUUCCUAUUGACUAGGACUCCACUAUUACAUUAUUGAAGACACAUAAAAACAAAGUUAACUACUUCAACAAUUGAUGGUGUCACUUCAAGGAGUUCUCAAUGUCGAUCACGAAUCGAUACUUAACAUCUCUCUUGAUGAGCCUCUCCAGAGCUUCGUUGGCAUAAUCGAUCGGUAUCACUUCGAUGUUUGGGUAUAUCUUCUGUGCUGCACACAGGUCUAUCAUUUCUUGGGUAUCCUUUGUUCCUCCCGUUACGCUACCUGAAACAGUUCUCAUAUCUGCCAAAAGUUCACCGCAAGCAACUUAGUUCACCUAUCAGGUAUAAAAUUUCAUUUAGUAAUCAGAUUUGAGAACAAAAACAUACUGAGGUUAAGGCUGGCUGGACUGAAUUUAACUUCGCUCAGGAAGCCGACCAAUGCUAGAAUGCCACCCGUCUUCAAAAGAGACAUGUAAGGAUCAAAUGGGUGAUCACCGGCUGCCGUGUCGAUUAUAAAGUCCAGGGACUUAGCAAUGGCCUGCAUGCAUUGGAUUUAUCAGAUCACAACAGAAUUUGACCACCAUGGAUCUCAAUGUGGAUAAUUCUAGUUUUUCCUCUUUUUACCUUCAUCUGCUCUAGGUCAGAUGAGAUAACGAAAUGGUCAGCCCCAAGCAGGCUCAGUGCUUCCUCCUUUUUAGAAAUGCUUGUACUGAACACUGUGACUUUCAGUCCAAAAGCCUUCCCAAACUUAACUGCCAUAUGACCGAGCCCGCCAAGUCCAAUUACACCUAGAGACUUACCAGGUUGGUUCAUCUUGUGACGUAUCAUUGGAGUGUACACCGUGAUUCCAGCACAGAGCAAUGGCGCUGCUAGAUCCAUCGGGUAGUUUUCUGGAAUCCUGAAGCAAUACCUGUCAAUGAAGCACCACAAUUAAGUUUCCAAAUAACACCAAGAGAGGAAGUGAUUUCCCAAUAGAAUCAGCAUCUUGUCUUUGUUGUCUAAAAGGAAUCAAAUCACAGAGCCAGAAAUCCUAUCUUCUGCAUGCUUGGGAAUUUUACUUGCUUAGACCACAAUUCAGCAUCAUGUUGUUUCUGUGAUCCUUGUUCUGACCACAAAUUGCUCUAGACAAACAUUUCUUGCUGUAGCAAUGUAAAUAAAGCAAUUGCAGAAUACAGGAGGCCACACUCGAUUAAAAUUAAGAAAAGACACUUGCUCUAAGAAAGGAAACUGGUGGCAUAUCACAUAUGCUUGACUGAACACGUAAUUUCUCUAUUUCCUUCAAUCAAUUUCUCCAAGGGACACAAGAUUCCUGUGGCUCUAUCAGAUACAAGAAUUAGUGAAAGCACAUACAUUUAGCUACCCAUUUGAUCUGAUACUUAUGAUCUAACUCUAACAAUCUAAGGACAGCUUAUUCCAUUCCUGACAAUGGUUAUUGAAAAGAAAGAAUUUCUUUUUGCAUUUAAUAAAGCCAAUUCUCCAUUGAAUGGUUUGAAUGGUAAUUAGAUACAAAGGACUUAAAGACUCUCCAGAGCCGUUAUAGAAAGUAUCUUUAUCCCUUUCCACAAGAUGCAAUUAAUACCUAAAAGCCAUUCCUCACAGUCCUAUGCAUUAUGCCACUUCUGGUCACAAUCAGAAAUUCAGAAUACAAAGAAAAUUAGCAGAGAAGAAGACAUGACAUGAAAUCUUUUUUUGGCCACCAUGAUUUGGAAUUCUGUCACAGUGCAAAAUGCUGCCUAAUAACGCUGUGUCAAUAAGCAAUUACCUUUCAUGGAUGACAAUGUGACUAGAAUAUCCUCCCUUUGUGACUGUACCGUCCGCAUCGAUUCCAUCAAAAGUCAAAACCGCCUUUUCACAUUGGGUUUCUAGCCUGUCAUUGCAAUACUCACACUCUCUGCAUGAAUUGACAUAAGUUCCCACCCCCACAUGAUCGCCAACUUUGAAGCGUUGGACACUGGAGCCAACCUGUUUCACAAUUCCAACUAUCUCGUGCCUGAAUCAAUCAAAAAAAUCAUUUGCAAAUUUUGUUCAGAGAAUUAUGAGGAUGGUGCUAAGAAAAAAAGAUUAACAUUUGAAUCACGCUGCAUCCUACCCUGGCACCAGAGGAUACUUGGAGUGUCCUUGCACAUUCCUAGUCCAAGCCACAUCUGCAUAGCACACUCCACAGUGCGUGAUCUUAAUCGAGACGUCUUCGCUUCCCACGGCCCUAAAGAGAUGAUUCCCAAACAGGUGAGCAUAUAAUCCAGUGACUAAUCAGACUAGGGUACCUUUUUUUUUCCAUUUUCAAGAUCAACAAACUAAGCUUGACCUACGAUUAUCGAGAAAACAAGAAACCAGAAAUGAGAAAAGGAAAAAUUCCAUGACUGCAAGCAUAUUUGUCCAUACGCUAGAUACAACCUCAAAUGCUCAGAAAGGCAGCCAGUACAGGAUCCUCAUGUCUGCCAUGAAAUUCUGAGUAACCCAUUACCAACAAUUCUCGACCCAGAAUUCAGCGCAUACACAACAAAAGAAAGAACGAAAAAAUGAAAUGGUCUGGACCGAAAACUGUCUCGCGUGAACACUGUACUGAGACUCUCGCAUGAACACUUUCGGUAGAAAUCGAAAAAGAAAAAAAAAUGGCAAUACCUGCGGGUGAAUUUGUAGGGGGAGAGGAACCCAGAAGGGUCCCGGGCAGCCCAACCGAGGCAAUCCUCCUUCCCACCCUCCGAGCUCAUCUUCUGUACCUACACACCCAGCGAAGCAAUCACACAAAUGGGUACGGUUAGAUUCAUCCAAAGGAGAAGAAGAAAGGGUGAGAACUCGAACGAGAAAGUGCCCAAGAUCAGAGACUCAACGGGUCAUCACUCGGCGAGGACUCGAGUCACAACGAGCUCGCCAUCACUCACCAACUCACUCACUCACCCACACCCACCUACCCAAACACAACCCCACGGGCCACAGCAACUCAGAGAGAGAGAGAGAGAGAGAGAGAGAUGACUACGGAGAUGGAGAUGAAGAGAGGUUACGCUGUGGAGUAUGCAGGAGCGCGAAGAGGGUGACGAGCCGAGCACAGUCGAGGACGGGAGGUUCAACGAAGACUUUUUUGCCCCCUCCUACUUCGCAGGAAAGCUGCGAGUAAUCCGAUGGAUUUUAUAGCGUUGGCCCGAGAUAGUUACGAAAAUAUUGGAAGGAAAAAUUAUCCGAAACUUUAACUCAACAUGUACCGUGAUCUAUAAGGAAAAAUAUAGUAUAUAGAAAUGAAAGAUGAGUAGAAAAAGAAAUGGACGAUUGCUGUCAAAUUAAAACUAUUCCCAAGUCAACUUGUCGGUCCCUUUCCUUCCAUUAUAAUCCUUUUUUAUAAUGUAACUGAAGAUUACUGGCUUUGUCACAACCAACGUAAACCCUCCAAAAGGUAAAAGAACUUAUGCAAAAGUAUAAAAAUGAAAGAUGUGUUGAAAAAAUGAGGACAAUAACCAAACGCGUGCAACUCAAUUGCACUUUUCGAUAAGGAUAAACUGUACCUCUCCUCAUCAUUGAAAGAGAUGGGAUUAAAUGCCUCUCCUCAUCAUUGAAAGAGAUGGGAUUAAAUGCAGACGUGAUUGACAUAGAGAUUAUCACAAGAAAUUAAAUAAAAAUAAGUCUUUCUUGGUAACGAGAUGUUUGUUCUCGUGACCGUGUAGGUCUUUCUAGGUUCUCUGACGCGUGCCAUGAGGUCAUGGCAUGUUAUGCAACCAAAUAUAUCCAUUCUAUAUUUCUAUGGUAACUAUCCAUCGUUACCUCCUGUGAACCUAAGAAGAACAAAACCAAUCCAUAAAGCUGUGGAGGAUCAAGAACAACCUGCCAUAAGUUAUUGAUGAACUCAGUUAAUUGUUCGAAGCCUUAGAAGCGAAUCAUUAAAACUUUAAGCAACUAAAAUGUCAGAUGCCAAACAGAAGGAAAAUCUACAGAGCCAACAUCUGGAUCGGAUCAAUGAUGGCAUAUCAACAACUAAGGGAAAAAUCUGCUACUAAAUAUUUAUCUGAAACUAGAGGAUGACGUUGCACUUGCAUAACUCCGUUAACGCAGAUCAAUGGUCAUGCUCUGUCUAGCUUUGUUAGAAGUUUGAAAACUCUACACGGACAGGCACUAUUUGCAAGAAGACGUGUUCCCUAUGCUCAUCUUUGUACUGAGCUGGAAAUGCUUUUAGCAGAUAGCUGUGCCUCCAGAAACAAAUCGCAUGAAGUGGCCCACAAUUCUCUGGCAAGUCCGGUGUCGUACGAAACUGAAGAAGAGUUGAUAGUCCGGCCCCUCCCACCAAAGAAAUACACACCAGAAAUUUCCUAUUUUUGCAAGACAGCGGCUAUUAGUAAGCACUGUUCCAACAUAUAAUAGCAGCCACAUAAGAUUGAUACCAUAGAUUAUCAGCAGAGAAGGGAAAAUCAAUUCUGGAAACAUACUGUCAUACCGUAGAAUCAACAUUAAUGGAUUUUACGUCCAAUGUUAGUGUGACCUCAGUUGAGGAUAAAACGAGAGAGACUCAUUCAAGAUGGUUCAGAUAAGUGAAGCACCAGUACAGGAAUGCUUUACACCAGCCUAUUUAGUGGGAAAAGAUCACUAUCACCCAUAAAUGCAGCUGUGGUUGCCUAUUGAGAUGAAACCCAGGUGAUUUCAUUGCAGUCCCAUCUAGCAUAUAGCAGAAAUUAAAGAUAAUGAUUGCAGUCAGAAAAACUCACAGGAGGGGCAAGGGCUGCAUCCAGAACUGAGUUGACCGCACCUUCAGGUGAAUCCAAAAGACCCAUUGCAGUUAAAAAUGCAAAAGCUGUGUAGGACAGGUAAGGGGGAACUUCUCGCAUGAUACUGGUUUUCACUACUCCAGGAUCCACAGCACUGGAAAUAAAAAAGAAACAGGAUAACAUCUCAAUUGUGCUGCCAGCAUGUAUUCAUACACAAAACUUUAGAGAAAGACAAUCUACAAAGCCUAAGUACAUUUUCUUGUUUAUAAUCAACUAGUAUAGUAUCUCUGAUAACAAAAACCAGGUUUUCAACUAAAAAGGGAUAGCUCAUAGAUUUGUGGAAAGUGGUAAGUGGAAAGUUCAAAUUCAACUACCAUACAAACUUAAGGGUGAGAUUACACUGUCCUACAAGAAUGCUUAAAUCCAGAGUGGCAGGAUUGUUGAUACAUACAGAAUGGAAACAUGACAGGAGCUUUCCAAGCGAAGGCGUCGAUGAAGUUCAUAUGAGAACAGCAGAAGGCAUACUGUAAACAAACAGGAAACUCUUACUAAAGUUUGUGAGAAGAUGUGACAUUUGCUUCUCAAAUAUUGCUGUAUCUUUUAUUCUAUCCUUUCCUUUUUGGUGCUAGGCUUCUCGAAUAAAACAUGAAACUUACAUUUUGAAUAACCAUAGAUCUGUGCACAUGGAUACUGUUUCAUCCUGAAGGAACUCUUCCCAAUAACACUUUCCUUGUCAAAUGUCGCACCACAUACUGAAGAAGAGGAGAACCGAGGAAAAGGAGAUUUUAAAUAAAUAAAUAAAAACUAUGACUCUAAACCUAGUAUAACAAUUGCACUAAAACAGAAACUGCACAGAGAAGUUGGACAGCAAGAAACUACAAGCAAACAAUACCAACUAUUUGACAUCAUAAAAGAGUUCUGUAACUUAGACAUUGAGUACAGCUAUAUUGCAUGUUCUAGUUUUAGCUUGCUAUCUCAGGCACUGUUAAAGUCCUAGAUGGGCACCAUAUUUAGUUCACUAAUUGAAUGAAAAAAUGACAUGCCAUAAGGGUCAGCAAGCCCGGGUUUCACAGAGGAACCUCCUUGCAGGCUGGCCACCGGCUGCAAUCAGUGUUCCACAGAUAAAUGGAAGUGUUUCUGACCACAAAGUGAAAAUAUCUUACCGCUUCGAUGUGUAAAGGACGUGACAUUGACUAUCCGGGAUGGAACAGGGCUGUUUCUGAGAAGUGGUAAUAAAUGCUUUGUCAAAAAGAAUGGUCCCAUGUAGUUCGUUGCCAUCAUCCUGGUGCAUAAAGAGGUGGAGAGAAGAAUCAACAGGAGAUCAGGCAACAAUGCAUUAUGAAAGACUGCAAUUAAUAAAUUCCAUUCCAAAAAGAGAAAAGCAAAACAGUGGGAGAUGCCACUUGCUACCGUGGCAACAAAUCUCCACAAGUAAACUACAAGUUGACAAGGUAUAUAGGAAAAUCAAAAUCACUAGAACAUUAGACUUUCAAUUGGGAAAGUGACGACACUAUUAUCGUUACUUAUUUAGAAAUUAGAACAUAUGCAUCUCAUUAGUUAAAUCUAAAACAACAGAAUAUAUAUUCUCCACUGUGACUGCUGUAGUGUUUAGAUUGCCAAAUAUUUGGAUCUUUGGAAAGAAUAUUGCAAAAAAAUUCCCAUGGCAAUAAGAUAAUUACUCAUCGAAGCCUUCAGCUGUAAUUCUGUAGGAUGUUGCCAACAUUCCAGCAUUAUUUAUCAGAAGCUGGACUGAGGCAUGCAUAUUUGAUUCCAACAGCCAUUGCUCAAGGGAGCAUCUGAAGUGUAAGAUUGACUCGAUAGAUGAUAUAUCAGCUUGAAAAGCUUUAAGAUGGGCAUCCUUAUUGUGUUUACAAAUCUCUGCCACUCUCUGUGACCCAAAAAAAAAAAAAGAAUCAUUGAGAGCAUCAUGUAGAGCAAAGAAGCUAAAACGGAUGCCGCACAACAAGUACCUCUGACAACCUGUGAGCAGACCGUCCAACUGCAGAGAAAGCAUAAAUUUCAGUUAAAUAAUUGUACCUGCAUGGAUCAAAACUCAUUCUUCUUGUAACAAAGAAAAGAUGCAUUUUGCAUUAACUCUAAGGACAACAAACAGUCAUUCGUACAUUAUUUGUCACAUUAAGCAAUUGACAAGCUUUUCUCUUUGCUUGAAUCACCAAGUAAAGACCAGAGAACAUUCAUAUAUCUACCCAUAACUCUUCCUAUGAGAGUGUUCAUCACAGACUGGUGGCAUUUAUGUAGACAGCCUAUUUUUUUUUCCUCCUAAUGUAGCUAUCAUCAGGAUGAUCCAGCACAAGCAAUCACAGAAAAUCCAGGCAUGGGGUUGAACUAAGUGUUGCUACAUCCAUAUCAAAGGAAUGAGGAGGAUAAACCACAGACUGCGACAUUACCAAGGACAACAACGAAACCUUCUUUUGAAAGAGCAUAAGCAGCCGCUGCACCCAAACCAGAUGUAGCCUGCAGGCAAAAGGCAGAGAAAGCUCUCAGUAGGAUAAUCUAAUUGAGGACAUUUGCUACUAGCAAAAGAAAUCCGUCUUACGCCGGUGAUAAUGCAGAGAGGUCUCAGAGGAACUUCUAUGUUGGCAUUUCGAGGGUAUGAAACAAUUCGACCAAAAAGACCACGGCUGAAGAAUUGCCAGUAUGAGGCCAGCAAAGAGAACGUCCAAAGUACUGCCAUUAUCCAGAAGUCUACUGUACAAAUGAAACAAAAAGCCUCGACCAACUCCUUUGACAUUAUUCUCAUCUUUGCCACCAUGGACUUCUUACCUGUGUUGGCAAAGUGAAAACAACAAAACAAAUUCAGGAUACUAAUAAAUCCAACAGAAAAGUAUAUGCGCACGGUAAAGUCCUAAAGUUUAUUGGAUUAGGUAGUGGAACUCGAAUUUAAAUCAAGUGAAUGUCACAAUUAAGUACUGGAGAGACCCAAUCUACGGAGAAAACACGCACCCUUACAUGACCAGUGCAGCAAAAUGAGUGCCUUGUUAUUUGACAGUCAGAGUUGAGACCUCAGUGUUCAGUCUACAGGAAAAGUUUUAGCAACCUCGAGAGAGGUAAGAACUAGGCAGAUCUCACUAUGCAACCAUAAAUCAACUAACUUCAGGUGUACUUUCAAACAAAUUCUUUGACCAAGCAUCUGAGGGAAAUCAACAAUACAGAGUUCAACAUUCUAGUUCGUAAAUACUUUGGCCUUUUCAUUGUCAUGUAUGAAUGACGGUUUCCCUAUUGUUUAGAAUGUACAGCUUUGAAGUGUCUUAAUGCCACCUUGUCUUCCCACCACAGCAAACACAGACCCAGGUAAAGGAAUCAAAUGUUAAAUCCAGUCUUAAUAAAUUUACACAUCACAACACACAACCCAGUGAGCUUACUUCAUCGGUUAGAGUCACCAUGCUCACCCAGAGUAACAAGCACACCAUCAAAAGUAAGAUUAACAGAGAUAGCAAAUGAUAUAGCUUGUUUCAAAAUGAAAUUCUGUUCAUUUCCAAGCUCCAGACUUUCCACAUCAAAGCUUGACGUCUACUCACCCUAAACAGACGCAGCUAUAAAAUUAUCAUCUACCAGCAGAACUCGUGAAAUUCCACACAAUUCAAACGGGCCUACACGCACGUCACCGACCUAGACACGUUCCCUAUUAAACAUUAAACAAUCACCACCCCAAAUCAUCUCCAAGCUCAACGUCCUCACCAUGCAACAGCUCCAGAGCUCCAAAAAGACCCAACAAGUUUUUCGCCAACCUUCACGUCAACUCAAGCUCCCCCGCUCACUUCCUCCCUGACAAUACACACCCCCCACGAAGCGCGCUCUAAGAAGCAUUACGUCAAACACAUUGGGGACAUCGAAACUCCGGGCAGAGUUCUCCCACGAACCCAACGCAAAUGGGCAUCCACGAAAACAGGAACUUGCAGAGAGGCGAACGCGGGCGCUCGUGCAGAUCACUGUAAAGCUAUUGCAACGAAACGUGAAGGGUUGCGCCGGAAACGAAAGGGCGACUCACGGGGAACGUGAAAGGGUCGAAGGAACGAAGGAAGGCGAGAGCAGAGACGGGUCGCCUCGACUCGACACGGUUCUCGUCGAAACCAGGAGAGUCUUGAGAUUGACUGGAGGAAAAAUCCGAGCUUUACAAAAAGUUAGAUGCAGGAUGAGACGAACAUCCGGUUCUUCAACCCGAGUAAAAGCGUUGACACUAAGGGCAAACUUUUCCUUGCAUAUUAGGGAGAAUUAAGUGGGAAAUUUUCGUUUAUCGAAUUCGCCAACAUGUUUUCCAAAAAAAAAAAAAAGGAAAAAAAGAAAUCACUAACGUAAUUUCAUUCACUAUCACCCCUUUUGAAAAAUCAAAUCCAUGCAUGGGACCGAUUAAAUUUCAUUCGUCAAUCAGUACUCUUUUGUAUGAGAACUUGAAGAAAGAAUGACUCGCAAAAUACAUAAAAAAAAAUGGAACAUCACAAGAUAUGCAAAAAUUACUGUAAAAGAAUCAUAGAUUACAUGUUCUAACAAAAAGGAAUCAUUUAUUGCAUUUGUGUGAUGUAAACUAUACUGGAAUUAUUUCUUGUAAAUCUUGAGAGUGGUAGUAAUUGUGUCAACAUUUGGAAUCCUAUUAGGGAUAAAUAUAUUGAAAAUAUUAAAAUUUGUCACGAAGUUACAAUUUAACCCUAAAAUUUGACCAAAAAAAAAAUUCCAAUCAAAUUCUAAAAUUUGUUACAAAGUGUAAUUGAAUUUUUAAAACUUUUAAAAAGUACAUUCAAGUUCUAAAUUUUAUUAACAUUUUUCGUUUGUCAAAUUUGAUGGAGUUUAGGAAAAUACUUGAUUAUAUUAACUUGUCAAGUUGGCUUGGGCCAAGUUUGGCAUACCUAUAGUCCGUCGGAUCCAUGUUAAGGUCUACUAGCUUUGACCCUCCCUAGCUUUUGGGCUGGAUUGGGUCGCUGCGCCCAGCCCUUGCAGGAUCUCUCUCUCUCUCUCUCUCAACUUUCCCUAUGUGUUUUUUGGUUACUUUAACAUUUUUAUUUGUCUUUUGAAUUAAUGAUCUCACGUGGCAUGGUUCAAAUUACUGGGGUGUCAGAACCAAAACCAAAACUAAAAUCUAACCGAAAUUUCAUGCAUUUUUUAUUUGAUUUGGUUUUGGUUAGGAUAAUAGAAAGAUAACGGUUAUUUGUUUUCGAUUUGGUGAAUCGAACUGAAAUCCUUAAUACAAAUAAAUGCACAACUUAAAAUCCCUCCUUUUUCUCAUCUCUUAUUCUAUUUGAUUCCAAUGAGAAGGUAAAAAUCAAAAAACCAAAAACUGAAAACUGAAUUGAAAAUAAUCCAAUCGGAUUUUUAGUUCAGUUUGUAUUUGAUUCAGAUCGCAACUUGGUUUGCUUUAAUUACUUAUCUUAUCAGUUCGGUUUGGUUCGGACUUUAGGACAUUCGAACUAAAUCGAAACGUUGACGCCCCAUUAGCCACAUAGAUGAAGUCAUGUCUAUAAUUCAACAACGUUAAUUAUGAUGGUUGACGACAGAGUCAGCAAGAUGCAAAAGAUAUAGAAAUACAUCAAAAGAAGGAAAAAAUAGUUAGAGGACCCAAUCGCAGGAACAUCAGUACUAUAUCGAGAACAAAAAAUUGCUAUGAACUAAAUCAUACAUUAAAAGUAGGAAACAAGGAGAACUAACACGACCGUUAAUAGCAGCAUUGACAUCUAUGUCCAUGGAGAAUUUUUCUUACGCAACUACCACAGGUGGAUCCCAGCUAAUUUGCUGUCUAUCUAAUCCCGGGUGAAAACGGUCGGGCCUUGGUUCGGAGCCGUCGAGGACACACGACCAUCCUCAACGCUCCAAGCUCGUCCUCCUCCGGCGCAGUGGCUCGGCCUCAUAUCCUCUAAGCUUCACGGCUUUGUAAGUCACGGCGCCAGCUAUGGCUCCGAGCGGAGGAGCCACCAUGUACAUCCACAAUCCUUUGUAGUUCCCUGCGGCCACGGCCGGGCCGAGAGUCCUCACGGGGUUCAGGGAACCUCCGGUCGGCAUCCUGCAUUUCCCGGGAACAUUGUUAAGGAACAUUAUGAAAGCUAAAAUUCUGUAACAACGCGUCCAUACUUGCACGCCCGAAGGUGAGUAGUUUCAGUACAAUGCUUACCCUGUCACAAGAACGCCAAGCAGCACCGUUGCUCCGAUUGCAAUACCUGCCAAAUCUCCUACCUAUCAUCAGAAAAAAGGAACAAAUGUAAGUGAAAUGGAUACAUGCUGUAUACAGAUGCCACGAGUACAGAUAGAGGAAGAGUCGAUAUGCAGCAUGGCGACGUACUGCACGAGUGUCGGUCACCACCGCGACGAUCACGAACGCGAGAAUGAAAGUGGCGAGAAACUCGAGAGCAAACGCCUGUCCGAUGUCCACCGAAGGCACCGUGACGCCGCCGUUGGCAAAGGGAUGGAAAACGCCCUUGAGGACGUAGGAAGCACACAUCGAGCCCGCAACCUGCGCCGCGAUGUAGCCAGGCACCUGGAUCCAUGGAAAGUGCCAGAUCACCGCGAGGGCGACUGUCACCGACGGGUUCAGGUGGGCUCCUGAAAUGUGACCGAUCGAGAAAACUAUGAUCAUCACGGCGAGCCCAGCGCAUGCCGCGUUCCCAAGCAACGUCUCUGCUCCGUUGUACUUUUGGUUCACAAUGGGCCCGCCCACCGCGCAAAGUACUAAGAAGAAGGUUCCAACGAACUCUGCUCCGACCUGCAUCGUUCAUGUAAAUCUAAAUAAGAAAAUCUAUCCUAUCUUUCUUUCUUGGUUUCACUCGCUAUGAAAAGGCAUAAGAAUUAUCAGUUUAUGCUGCAACAGCUAGCGAGCCUGUCUAAUCUUUACUGAUCUUUGAGGUCGAUUGGGCUUUACCUUCCGCAACGAAUCAUACUUAUCCGGCUGGAGACGCCGAACACCUUCCGUUGCACCGUCACUCGGCGCACACCACUUGCACUGUACCACGGACCCGUCCUCCGGCAACGAUGAGUCCACUUGCAACGUCACAGAUGCCGGUUGGCACAUCUUCUCUUGCCUGGACAGCUCGAUGGAGAUUAAGGGAGACCAGAGGUCGCGAAUAAAGGAUCAAGAGAUCGAUGAGAAGAGAGAUCAAGACGAGAGGGAGCCUUCAGUCUGUUGCCUCCGUCUAUGAUAGUUGAUUGCAGCGACCCCAAAAGCAUUUUAUAGGAGAGAAGACAACGGCUUUAACAUCGCCAACAUCAUCUUCUUGUUCACUAGUUCGGCUUGUUGACUCGCUCCAUAGGAUUCGGUCAUUCAUAGUAGUUCGGACUGUCUGCACCUUGACUAGAUCUAGGGUUACUCUAUACAAGUAAUGAUUUGACUCGGUUUGGCAUGCUCAGAAAAACUUGGAGGGCACGUUUCUAUUUCUGAAAUUUAGGUGUGCAAGUCUACAUUUGUGGACCAGAUAUUGAAUAUUUAAGACCGAUUCUAUAAAGAGAAGAUCCAUCAAAACGUAUUUUCUUUUUUUUGUUUGGGGGGGAAGAGUUAAGGGCUGCGUUUGUUUUGAUUUCUUUUUUCUGUUUUUAAACAAUUUUUUUUGUUUUUUUGUUCCUGGGAACAAAAAAGGAACAGAAACGCGUUUGUUUGCAUUUUUAUUCCAAAAUUAUUUUUUUGUUCCCAGAAACACAUCUGGAACAAAAACAAGAAACAAAAAAAAAAGUUGUUUCUUGUUUCUGGAACAAAAUUUAGGAACACUUUCUUCUUCUCUCUUUUUUCUUCUUCUUUUCUUCUUCUUUUUUCUUUCUUUUUUCUUUGGCCGGUCGCCGGCCUCAACAAUUGAACCUUCUCAAACUGUUUCUUCUUAAGAACCAAAAAUAUUUGUGCCAAAAUAACAGAUGCCAAGAAGAACAAAAGGCCUUGGACACGGAAUGGAUCUUGAAGUACUAUUUCCGCAUCUCCUUGACCAAAUCCACCCACAUUAGGAUUACUCGUUAAUGGCUGAUCAAGUUUGAUAGAUUCGCCUUCGGAAACAAGAAGUUCUGGCCCUGGUGGAAUAAUAUCAACCACUUGACGUUCAUCUGACGCAUCCGAUAUGGUUAUUUCGUACCCCCCUUUUUCUUUUCGUAUGAUUUUACUUACUACACCAGCCGCUGUAGCAUUAUAAACUGUAUUGUUACUCUUGCUCCCAUCGGGAUAAAUCUGACCCAUUCCUCUGUUCCCGCCUACAUAUAUGGGAUAUUUUAAGAAGUGAACAUCUUUAUUAGUAGCGGGGUCCGGGGAAAGAAUAGGAAAGGUGACUUCACUAUAUUUCUGACCAGAAACAGGACCUAUCACAAGAAUAUUUUUUUUAUUGGGGCGAUAGCUCUGAAAAGACAGAUUGCCUAUCUUUUCUUUCAUCUCGGGCGAAAUACGAUCGGGAGGUGCUAAUUCAAAUCCCUCAGGUAAAAUAAGAACAGCCCCCACAUUCAAACCUCCCAUUUUACCAUUAGCAAGAACUUGUUUAACUUGCAUAUCAUAAGGAAUUCGAACAACUGCUUCAAAUACAGUAUCAGGAAGUACCGCUUGCGGAACCUCAAUAUCCACGGGCUUAUUAGCUAAAUGGCAAUUGGCACAUACAAUACGUCCGGUCGCUUCUCGUGGAUUUUCAUAACCCUGUUGUGCAAAAAUGGGAUAUGCAUUUGAAAUGGAUGUCCGAGCUAUGAUAUAUAUCAUCAGCGAUACGGAAAUAGAUCGAAUAAUCUCUUUCUUUAUCCAAGAAAAGGUGUUUUUAGUUUGCAUGGUCCAAUCAUUGAUCCCGAAAAUUUCUACAAUAAAAUUAGGUAGGUCGCUUGUAUAGUUCCCUAUCCACAAUUCUGCUAUUUACUUUAUUGAAAUCAUUUUACUGGAAUAUAAGGAGUAGGAGAAAUCCCUGUAGGGUAGAAAGAGUAAGUACGUCUUAAAAUGGAAAUGCUUUGCUUAUGUACCUUAUGUUACAAAGUAACAAAUAUUCUAGUUAGAUCAGUCAUUCAUUGAAUGAUAAAUCACUACAAGUGAUGGAGAUAUACGAUUUAAAUAGCGGAAGAUCCAAUAUUUAAAAAUUGUAUCCAGAAUGACUGGAAAAGUAGAAACAAGACCCGAUAUAAUUUGAUCGUUGUGAGCAAAUCCAAAAUCUUUGUAGACAUAGCCAAUCAUUAGUUCCCAACCAUGGGGCGAAUGGAAUCCGAUACAUAAAUCAGUUAAUAAAAGAAUAGAAAAAGCUUUUAUUGUGUCACUUAAGUUAUAUAGGAAUUCUUGAACCCAAGAGUUAAGAAUAGCAAGUUCUUCAUUACCCAGAAUAGAAUAACCACUUAAAAUAAUGAAAGAGGUUAUAUUUGUCGAUAAGUGAAAAAUCAUAUGGAUAUGAUCCUCAUUGUGCAUCUUGAUCAAUUGGAUCGUUUCUUUGUGGAUUCCUAUACGAAGUGUUUGUAGAUGUGUUUCCGGGUAUUCUUUUAUCAUUUCGUCCAAGAGUAAGAGUUCUUCCAAUUCGAUGAAUUUUUCUAGAAUACUCUUUUCUUGAAUAUCAGUCAAAAAAGUUUCGGAUUGCCUAGUAUUCCACCAAUUAGUAAUCCAAAAUUCAAGACUUUUAUUAAAUGAGAGAGAGAUCCACCAGGGCAAAAAUACUAUAGAUGUAAGAUAUAGAAGAGGAAGAAAUGCUUUCUUUUUUACCAUUUUUUCAUCUUUGAAUUGUUAAUGAAUCCACCUCAUUUGUUGAAUCUAUGUGAUCUACUAUUUCUAUUAACCCUAAGUUCUAUUACAGGGCAUCGGGCCUCGGCCAUGGCCGGCGACCGGCAGUCGAGGGCCGGUGAGGCCGAGCGUCGCCGGCCCUUGGUGAGGCCGACCUCGCGCCGAGCUAGGCGAGCUCGGCCUCGCCGGGCCACUGCCAGGUCGGCAUCGCCUGGCAGUGGCCCGGCGACGCCGAGCCUCGCCAGCCACUGAUUGUCACUUGCUUUUAGUCAUGCAUUCAAAACUGUAAGAUUCAUGCACUAUAAGAUAACCAGACAAGCGAAAAAAUGAUGUGCAUUUCAGUUGAGGUGGCAAGACCAAUUAGAUUGAAUUCAAACCAAAUAAAGCUUGACGCAUAAAAGAGAAAUGUUGUGCAUUGAGCGAAUAUAUGACAAAAUAAGUGCAAAGAGAGUCAUUGAUGUUCUAGCACUUUGGCCAAUUGAGUUCUUAAAAUUUUACUUUGCUUAAUUGAAUCCUUAGCAUUUUCAAUUUUAAUCAAUUGAGUCCCUCAAGCUUGAUCCUCGGAAAUAGCCACAUGGCUAUGAUUUUCCAAGUUGAUAAGAAGAUGCUCGACAAUAAAACCAGGUGAGCCUCUCAAGGGCUUCAUUGGCAUAAUCAUCAGUAUCACUUCGAUUUUUGGGUAUACGUGCUACACCGCACAGAGGUCUAUCAUUUCUUGGAUAUACUUCAUACCUCCCGUAGUGCUACCCGAAACGGUUUUCAUACCUGCAAAAAGUUCAUUGUGAGCAACUUACUUUCUUCACCUAUCAGGUAUCAAUAUUUCAUUCAGUAAUGAGCUUUGAGAACAAAAACAUACCGAGGUUAAGGCUUGCUGCAUUGAAUUUAAUUUCGCUUUGGGACCCAACCGAUGCUAGAACGCCACCCGUCUUCAAAAGAGACAUGUAAGGAUCAAAUGGGUGAUCAGCAGAUACCGUGUCAAUUAUAAAGUCCAGGGACUUAGCCAUGGCUUGCAUGUUACGAUUCAUCAGAUCACGGCAGCACUUGACAUCCAUGGAUCUAAAGUAUUAAUAAUUCAAAAUCUUCCCGUUUACCUUCAUAUGUUCUUGGUCAGAUGAGAUAACGAAAUGGUCAGCACCAAGCAAGCUCAGUGCUUCCUCCUUUUUAGAAAUGCUUGUACUGAACACGGCAACUUUCAGUCCAAAAGCCUUCCCAAGCUUAAUUGCCAUCUGACCGAGCCCACCAAGUCCAAUUACGUCGAAAGACUUACCCGGUUGGUUCAUCUUGUGACGCACCAUUUGAAUGUAUACUGUGAUUCCAUCACAGGGCAAUGGUGCUGCUAAAGCCAACGGGUAGUUUUCUGGAAUCCUAAGGCAAUACCUGUCAAUGAAGCACCACAAUUAAGUUUCCAAAUCAUGUAAUUUUUCUAUUCCCCUCGAUCAUGUCUCUAAGGGACACGAUAUUCCUGUGACUGUUGGAUACAAGAAUCCGUGAAAGCAUAUACAUUUCAUUACCCAUUUGAUCUAACACUUACUAUCUAACUCUUGGGAACAAUCUAAAAAAAGGGAGGAAGCGGAGACAAAAGGCAAGGAUUGAGCAAUUUCCAUCUCUCUCUCUCUCUCUCUCUCUCUCUCUUUUAAUUAAGGGUUAAUAUCCUAAAAAAUCCCAAAUUGGUACACAUGUAACAAAUUUACCUUGACAGACUAUAAAAAACUCUAAACUUAUAUAUUUAUGACAAAUUUACCCCAAACUAAUUUAUUUGACCGCAAAAAAUCUCAAAAUGGUAAAUUUGUAACAAAUAUACCCUUCACUAAAUUGGAUUAAUACCACAAAAAGAUCACAAAAAUUGUAAACCGUGACAAACGGAGCAUGAAAUCUCAAAUUGGUAUUACUAAUCAACUGUCACGUGCCAUUUAACUUAAUAAUUUGACAGUAAAAUUUAAUGAAAACUAAUAGAGGGUAAAUUUGUCACAAGUGUACUAGUUUAGAGUAUAUUUGUCAAAAGUAUACCAGUUUGGAGUUUUUAGUGGUCAAAAAACUAGUUUAGAGUAAAUUUAUCAUAGGUGUACCAGUUUUGAGUUUUUUAGGGUAUUAACCCUUUAAUUAAUUUAGUUUUAAAUUUAAUGUUAUUAAUGUUUCAUGAAAAUUCAUAUGUUAGAUUUAUUGGCUCACAUGUCAUUGUCACUUGAUGUGUAUGAUAUAUAGAAUAGUCCAAGAGUUUUGACUUUAGAUGCUUGGGAACUCGCGAAUGGUCAUACAUUGUCGGUUACACAUUCAAUAUGAUGUAUUAGCUAAUCAUAGUCCUCUAACGGUUUAUAUUUGCUUAAUAUAUUUCAAGAAUAUUCAUUUGUUAGACUUGUCCGCUCACACGCCACUGUCACUCGAUGUAUAUGAUAUGCAGAAUAGUCUAAGAGCUUUGACUUUAGACACUUGGGAGUGUCUAUGCUUGUUUUAUGUCUGUUAUGCUUGCAAUGCUUCUGGUUUUGAGUGGACAGUACAAAUAUUUAAGUCCAUGUCAAUUUGAACAAUUUUCUUUAUUAUAGAGCAACCGUCUUUAAUCUAUUGUGUUCUUGACCACAAAAAACCAAAUAACAAAUAAGUAUUAAUUAUUGUAGGGUCCAACAACAAUCUUUAAUCUAUUGUGUUCUUGACCACAAAAAACCAAUUAACAAAUAAGUAUAAAUUAUUGUAGGGUCCAACAGCAAUCUUUAAUCUAUUGUAUUCUUGACAACAAAAAACUAAAUAAUAAAUAAGUAUACAUUAUUAUAUGGCCCACUCCUUUAAAAAUUUGUUGCUCACAACAACUUAUUUAUUCUCAUAAUAACCCAAAGUUAUGCUAGCAAAGCUCUUUUGAGUAAGUGUAUUGAAAGUUUUAAAAACUUGUCACUAAAGUGCAUUAAGUCCUGAAACUUUCAAAAAAUACAAUUUAAUCCUAAAAUUUGUCACGAAAUGCAAUUGAGUCUUAAAAUUUUCAAAAAGUAAAAUCAAUUAUAAAGAUUUAUCAAUAUUAUAAGGGACAAAACCAAAAGCUGCAUGCAAUAAAUCAGACAAAAUUCAUUAAUUUAUGACCAUCAAGCAAGCGUCAGACAUUAGCAAAUGAAUGUAUUAGCAAUCGAAAAUACAUCGAAAACAAAAAGUUAAAAGCUCAUAUCUACCUUUCAUUCUUAUGCUUUGUAAGCCCCUCUGACCUUAGUGACCGCAAGGAUUUUACUGUGGACUCAAUGAGAUCCAUCUCAAGCUCCACCCUUUCAUGUGUCCAGCACUGAAGCAAAAGGAAAAUCGCAAUAAUGCGAUGAGGAUGAAACUAACCCAUUGAAUUUCUGAGUAAUCCAUCAAGUACAAGUUACCCAUCAUUCGGCCACUAAGCUCCUCCACUAUGGCCCUCAAUUGCUGGAUGCUUACUACGAGCGCUUCAUCCCUUCGUAUGAAGUCAACAUUUCUUUGAUUCACACUUUCUUUGCAUGACAUAUUUUAAACCUACAAGUAAACGUUAGUCACAAAAAUCCUCACCAAUUGCUCCCUCACGUGUUUCUCUCAAUGUGUUUGUCACUCCCCUCGUGUUUAACUCAAAUUUAGGCUUUUUCCCUCUCGUAUUCUCUUUUCACAAGUUCUUUAUUGGACUCAAAAUCAGUCUCUCAGCCCCCUCACGACAAUCAAUCAAAAUAAUCAAACAAGAUUAGAUUACUAUUAAUUUUGUUUCAGCAAGUAACAAUUUCAAACCAACAAGUAUAACUUUCGAAAUUCUAAUUGAAACGCAAAUCACUACUGAUUUUGUUUCAAUUCGGUCCACAGUCGCCUUCUUGAUUUUUUUUUGUUCAGCUUUUUUUUUCUGCUGAAUCUUUUUUUUUUCUCUAGCGCACUUUUUUUUUGUGUGCGUUUUCUUUCUCUUCUUUUUUUUUUUUUACGAACUUUCUUUGUUUUUUUUUCUUUCUUUUUUGACAAACUCAGAUACAAUUUAAGAUGAUAGGAAAAAAAAUAUUAAAACUAACAGCAAACAAUUACGUAUGGAAGCACAAAAGUAAUCAGAUCCCUAAAUUGGCUAGAACCGAAACCCUAACUCAAUAAAUCUCAAAUUGCUGAAUAUAAACAGAAAAUUAAAGAUAAAUAGACAUUGUAGAAGUAAGCUCUGAUACCAAAUGAUGUCAAUCGUUGUGGAAAAAUCAUUCUACGAAGGCCUGGAUGGUGCGAAUUGCAAACCUCGACCUCCAAUCAAACCUGUGAUUGAUAACCUCGAUAUGAACGUGAUCAAACCUACGAUUGAGAACCUCGGUAUGAACGUGACCUAUUGACAAACGCAUGUCAACCAACCAAACCCACGAGCGAAAGAAUAAGGUUAAGUUCUCAAAAAAUAGUAGAAAAGAAUCUCUCAACUUUUUUCAUCCAUAUAUAUAUAUAUAUAUAUAUAUAUAUAUAUAUAUUGACUUGGUCAAAUAUUUGAUGAUCAGAUAAUCAAAUUGUGCAAAGAUUUCUAAGAUUCUUCAAGAUUUAAUCCAAAGCCAUCUCUACGCCGAAGAUCAUGAACCAUGACGCUAACAGCUUACUUGAAUUGCUUGGCUCGUGCUCGAGUAAUUGAACCAGUAGGAAUAGACAAUGGGUCUCUAGCACCACCUCAUCGAUAUGGCUUGAUGUCCACAUCAUAAUGCAUGCGAAGGAACAAGCCGAUUGCCACUUGAUGUUAGUCAUUCAUGCAAAACUGUAAGAUUCAUACGCUAUAAUAUAGCCAAACAAGCAACCAAAAAAAAAAAAUAAAAAAUAAAAAACUAAAAAAAUGAUCUGCGUUGCACUUGAGGUGGCAAGGGCAAUUAGAUUGUAUUGAAACUAAAUGAAGUCCGUUGCAUUAAAAAGACAAUCAAAUGAUGCAUUGAUCAAACCUUCUCUUCCUUCUUCUUUUUCCUCUCCAGGUCUUCCACGCCUUCCGACUUGUUAUCCGGUUGAGACUGCACGACCCACAUCGACUCAUCAAUCUGAUCAUUACAAUCAUAGACUUGCCAUUUCCACAGCUAACCCAAUAACUCAAGCUACAAUCAGACGAGCUUCCACCCAAGAAAACAUACCAUUUCGAUGGUUGGUAAGCGUGAGACUGCAACCAAAGUUCGAUUCCGACAAGAGAAAGCACCGGGACAGAUGGUUGAGCUCCGUUUAGAAGUAGACCCAACAGCCGCCGGCGAACAAGGGUGGCGACCGUGACUUCAAAGAGACGACUUGACGGCGACCGAGCUCGGCGGAGGCGAGGGCGGCGGGACUUGUCAGCAGGGAUUUUUCUGACAGUGUCAGACUGGCACGACUCUGACGUUUUUUUAAUUAACUAAAGAAAGAAAUUCGUAAUACGACGUGGGCAGCCCGCAGGAGGGCGAAAUAAGAGUUUCCUGUUCUUAUUUUAUUUUAUUUUUAGCCUUUUCUGCUUAUUAGCAAAUAAAAUUUAUUAAUUUGACACGAACAUAUAGUGGUGUAUUUCCUACUAGUAAUAUAAAUUUAUAGAUUUUAAGGGAAGACUUGGAUCGUAAUUGUCAUUGGAGAGGAAGUGAAUGAUGAUAUAACAUGAGUUAAUAGACGUAAGUGAAAAAUGUCACAAAAGAAAUCGUGUUCCGAUAUUAAUUUUGUCAAUAUAUUGAAAAGGCAACAGGUUUCGUAUUCUUCUGGACAGAAAUGAAAGGUCAAAGGGAAACGAGAAGGACUGAGCAAAUAAAUGACAAAAUAUGAGCAAUGGAAGUCAUUGAUCGUUUGCCGUUUGACUGAUUGGAUUCUAAAUAUUUUAUUUUCAAUUGGGGUCUAAAUAUUUAUUUGGUCCAAUUGACUUCUAAACAUUUCCAAUUUUAGUCAAUCACGUCCCUCGAAUAUUAUUGUCGGAAAGAGCCACAUGGCUGUGAUUUUCCAAGUGGCCAAGGAGAUGCUUGAGGAGAAAACCUGUAGGAGAGGCGAAGCCAUUCAAGCAGAACUCUCAAGAAGCCAAUUUUUCAGACAGUUUCUCAAUCAUCACAUAGAAAAGUACCAGGAUUUCAUUACCCAUUUCACUUAUUUCUGCUAUAAAACUUACGGGUAUCGAAGUAUAUCAGGCAUAGUUUAUUUGUACUCCAGCAGAGAUAGUAAAAAGGCACAGAUGAUGCUCUCCUCUAGCUGAAACUCCCACUUUUCCUCUCUGUGUGAUCAGCUUUGCCAGCAACAAUUUCCAACUUCCCAAAUUGAUGUUCAAAUUUAAUCAAAUAGACUCAGAGAAGAAAACACACGAGAAUUGUUGCUAUAACUCUUGUUACUUUAUUCAUCAAAACAUCCAAAUCACUUAGCAAGAAAAUAGCUAUAGAACAACAACAACAACAAAGACCCACUGACAUACCCCACCGACCAAACAUGUGGAGAAACUAACUCCUACAAAAAAGCCACUUCCUAUUGACUAGGACUCCACUAUUACAUUAUUGAAGACACGUAAAAACUGUAAGUUAACUACUUCAACAAUUGAUGGUGUCACUUCAAGGAGUUCUCAAUGUCGAUCACGAAUCGAUACUUAACAUCUCUCUUGAUGAGCCUCUCCAGAGCUUCAUUGGCAUAAUCAAUCGGUAUCACUUCAAUAUUUGGGUAUAUCUUCUGCGCUGCACAUAGGUCUAUCAUUUCUUGGGUAUCCUUUGUUCCUCCCGUUAGGCUACCUGAAACAGUUCUCAUAUCUGCCAAACGUUCACCACGAGCAACUUAGUUCACCUAUCAGGUAUGAAAUUUCAUUUAGUAAUCAGAUUUGAGAACAAAAACAUACGGUGGUUAAGGCUGGCUGGACUAAAUUUAACUUCGCUCGAGCCGACCAAUGCUAGAAUGCCACCCGUCUUCAAAACAGACAUGUAAGGAUCAAAUGGGUGAUUGCCGGCUGCCGUGUCGAUUAUAAAGUCUAGGGACUUAGCAAUGGCCUGCGUGCAUUGGAUUUAUCAGAUCACAACAGAAUUUGACCACCAUGGAUCUCAAUGUGGAUAAUUCUAGUUUUUCCUUUUUUUACCUUCAUCUGCUCUACGUCAGAUGAGAUAACGAAAUGGUCAGCCCCAAGCAGGCUCAGUGCUUCCUCCUUUUUAGAAAUGCUUGUACUGAACACUGUGACUUUUAGUCCAAAAGCCUUCCCAAACUUAACUGCCAUAUGACCGAGCCCGCCAAGUCCAAUUACACCUAGAGACUUACCGGGUUGGUUCAUCUUGUGACGUAUCAUUGGAGUGUACACCGUGAUUCCAGCACAGAGCAGUGGCGCUGCUAGAUCCAUCGGGUAGUUUUCUGGAAUCCUGAAGCAAUACCUGUCAAUGAAGCACCACAAUUAAGUUUCCAAAUAACACCAAGAGAGGAAGUGAUUUCCCAAUAGAAUCAGCAUCCUGUCUUUUUUGUCUAAAAGGAAUCAAAUCACAGAGCCAGAAAUCCUAUCUUCCGCAUGCUUGGGAAUGUUACUUGCUUAGACCACAAUUCAGCAUCAUGUUGUUUCCGUGAUCCUUGUUCUGACCACAAAUUGCUCAAGACAAACAUUUCUUGCUGUAGCAACGAAAAUAACUCGAUUAAAAUUAAGAAAAGACACUUGCUCUAAGAAAGGAAACUGGUGGCAUAUCACAUAUGCUUGACUGAACACGUAAUUUCUCUAUUUCUUUCAAUCAAUUCCUCCGAAGGACUCAAGAUUCCUGUGGCUCUAUCAGAUACAAGAAUUAGUGAAAGCACAUACAUUUAGCUACCCAUUUGAUCUUAUACUUAUGAUCUAACUUUAACAAUCUAAGGACAGCUUAUUCCAUUCUUGACAAUGGUUAUUGAAAAGAAAGAAUUUCUUUUUGCAUUUAAUAAAGCCAAUUCUCCAUUGAAUGGUCUGAAUGGUAAUUGGAUACAGAGGACUUAAAGACCCUCCAGAGCCGUUAUAGAAAGUAUCUUUAUCCUUUUCCACAAGAUGCAUUAUGCUACUUCUGGUCACAAUCAGAAUACGAAGAAAAUUAGCAGAGAAGAAGACAUGACAUGAAAUCUUUUUUUGGCCACCAUGAUUUGAAAUUCUUUCACAGUGCAAAAUGCUGCCUAAUAACAUUGUGUUAAUAAGCAAUUACCUUUCAUGGACGACAAUGUGACUAGAAUAUCCUCCCUUUGUCACUGUACCGUCCGUAUCGAUUCGGUCAAAAGUCAAAACCAUCUUUUCACAAUGGACUUCUAGCCCGUCAUUGCAAUACUCGCACUCUCUGCAUGAAUUGACAUAAGUUCCCACACCCACAUGAUCGCCAACUUUGAAGCGUUGGACACUGGAGCCAACCUGUUUCACAAUUCCAACUAUCUCGUGCCUGAAUCAAUCAAAAAAGUCAUUCGCAAAUUUUGUUCAGAGAAUUAUUAGGAUGGUGCUAAGAAAAAAGAUUAACAUUCGAAUCACGCUGCAUCCUACCCUGGCACCAGAGGAUACUUGGAGGUUCCCGACAUAUUCCUAGUCCAAGCCACAUCUGCAUAGCACACUCCGCAGUGCGUGAUCCUAAUCGAGACGUCAUCGCUUCCCACGGUCCUAAAGAGAGAAUUCCCAAACAGAUGAGCAUCUAAUCAAGCAACUAAUCAGACUCAGUUACCUUUUGUUCUCAUUUUUCAGAUCAAUAAACUAAGCGUGACUUACAAUAAUCAUACAUUCAACCCAAAAAAAAAUUUAAGAAAAGAGAAAUGAAAAGGAACCAAAUCCAUGACUAUAGGCAUUUGUCUGAAUAGUACAUACAACCUCAAAUGCUCACAAAGGCAGCACCCGAAUCCUAAUGUCUGCCAUGAAGUUCUAAGCAACUCAUUCUGGGACAUGACAUAUCAUGCGUACAAACAAUUCUCUACCCAGAAAUUAGUGCAUACACAACAAAAUUUAUAAAAGAAAAACGAAAUGGUUUGGUCAAUGUGGAAAUUUAAAUAUAUGACAAGCAUCAAAAACUGUUUUGCAUUACAGGUGAGAGGAUAAGACCUGAGAACACUGUAUUGAGACUUAUUCAGACAAAUACUUCAAUAGAAAUUGAAAGUAUAAGGAGCAGAUGAAUUAAAUAAAGAACAGUGGUAACAGUAAUACCUGCGGCUGAAUUUGUAGGGGGAGAGACGUCCAGAAGGAUCUCUGGCAGCCCAACCAAGACAAUCUUCCUUCGCACCCUCUGAACUCAUCGUUCCUCACCGACCUCAACUGAAAUCGACCCACAAAAAAAUUGCUGUGUUAAUCUCUCAAUAAGCUGAAUUAUGGAAGAAGAAGAAGAAUUAUUUUCGUGAAAGAGAAAUGAAGAGAAAAUCAAACCGGAAAACAGAAGUUCAAAUGGUCAAAAGGCCAAAUGUCACGAAGACUUGGCAAUUCCGUUUCCGUGCAGACAAGAUUUUGCGGUCUGACUUUUGAGCAAAGAGCGAGAUUAGCAGAGAGCGAGGUUGAGCGCUCAAAAACCGUCACCUCUUUAUAGAUGCCAUAGCGUCGCCUGUUCUUGAUUUUUUUUUUCGUUUUAUCUUGUGGAAAAGAAUUAGUGCCAAACGUAAGCCAUUACCCUUCACUAGCCAAUGAAGUAUGCAGUGACGUCUUCUGGAGUACGGUUCUUGGUAUUUUUAUUUAUCCUCCCAAUAACAAUUGCAUUAUUAAUUUAUUCACACAUUAAAUAUGUCAAUAGGCAACAUGUUGACGCAUAAAAUAUGUCAUGAUCCUCUAGUGGUAUGUAUUCGAUUCAUCUAUUUUAAGAAUAUUCACCUUCAUCUAUUUUAAGAAUAUUCACCUUCUUCAAAGAUAGUGUUAGUAUAUGCGGAAACAUGUGUUUGAUAUGUAUGCAAGCAAAAGAACUAAGGGACAAUGUGAGCAAGAAAUAGUGGGACAAAGUAAUAAUAGGAAUGUGUAAAAGAGAAUGAGGCUGAGGCGGUGAAGGAGAGAAACUUGAAUGGAAGUCAACAAUAGUGGCUGAAGAAGAAACUAGUAUGUGGACAGCAAGAGUACUUGGAGAAGAAGAAAAUGAGUUGUCAGCUGUACUAUGGCCUAUGGCGGUGAAAAAGUCAAAAAUGUCAUGCUUGAAGUCGGUUGUAAUUGCCUAUAAAUAGGCUUGUCGUUCAUUUAUUUGGUGUGUGUGAGGUGAACCCUUCACCUUGUGUGGGGGUGAACCCUCCACUGUGAGAGGUCUUAAACCUCCGCUAGGACCAUAUGGAGAGUGACUAUUCAACACCUCCAUCAAAUUAUUUUGUCUUCUUCAAUAAGUUCUUGACAGCUGGAGUUUGAUGAAGAAACUUUGCUUCAUGCUUUCCGCUACUUGCUAUUUCCGAUGCACGUAGACUUCUCUAGCCUAUUCUAGGAUUUCUUCUUCAACUUGGGGUUUGCUUGCUUGUAUUCCCAUGUGAAUCUUCUAGGUUCAGCUAGCAACCACCAUUCUCAACAAUUCUAGACAAUCUUCAACAUGGAUGUUGCUACCAACGUUCUCGCCUUCAUGAUUAAGUUAAUAGUUUCUAAACAGUUUUAGAGAAAAUGGAUCAUAAUUUUCAACAUAUAGUAUUUUGGAGAGAAAAGUAUUUCAGCAGAAUUGUUCAAGGAUUUACAGAUCACUACAAUAUCACCGGAAGCAAAUAAUUAUCCAUCAUUGACAUGAACGAUAUAGCAAAAAUUCUUUUACUUGUUUACCUUAAGUUUAGCAAGAUCUGCUUAAACGACAACCUUGAGUAUCUUCAAUUCCCUUUCUCUUGCCUUCAAAAAGAUAUUGAAAUGCAACGCAGAAUCAAGACAGAUUGUCAUUAACAAAGCUGUAAAAGCCUACUCAAUCUGGCAAAAUUGGGGACAGUGUUUUCCAGCGAUCUUGACUACCUCGGUAGCUGCUGUGCAAAUGGAUAGGAAUGCAUGCAGAGGGACAAGCUGAUUGUUACCUACUUUUAGUCAUUCAUUUGAAACUGUAAGAUUCAUGUGCCAUAAGAUAGCCAAACAAGCGGGCAAAAAAUGAUGUGCCUUGCACCGAAGGUGGCAAGAGCAAUUAGAUUAAAUUCAAACCAAAAAAAGCUUGAUGCAUAAAAUGAAAAGUCAUCCAUUGAGCAAAAAAGGGUGCGUUUGGUAAGGUUUCUGUUUAAAAAUUGUUUCUGGGAACAUAAAUAAAAAAAAGUGUUUCUGUUCCAAGGAACAAGUUUUGAACAAAAAAACGCAUUUGGUAAAUCUGUUCUAGAAAUAUAAAAAAAAUAGAAACACGUUUGGUAAGUUUGUAUAUUUUUUUUUAUUUCUUUUAAUUUUUAAUAUUUUUAUUUUUAUUUUCUAUUUUCUUUCUUAUUUUUCUUAUUUAUUUUUCCUUUUUUUCUUAUUUAUUUUUCCUUUUUCCUUUUUUCUUCUUUUGGCCGGUCGCCGGCCUCGGCCAUGGCCGACGACCAGCCGACAAGGGCCGGCGGCCUCACCCAGCCAUGGCGAGGCUCGCCGGCCGCUGGGCGAGCUCGGCCUCGCUAGAUCUGGGCGAGAUCGAGCUCGCCCAGCCAGGCGCGAGGUCGGCCUCGCCGCGCUGUGCCGACGGUGACCCAGAGCCACACCAUCGUCUCCCUCCACCGCAUCGGUGACCGCGCUCGACGCCUCCUCGCCGCCACCGGAUCGGCGACCACCCCUCCGCCUCACGCCCGAUUGACGCAUCUGCAGGUCUCGAGCCUUCGUUCACCACCGCCACAUCAGAUCUCACCACGCCGUGACCCACGGCUUCGAGAUCCGCUCGAUCGUCGACCCCGCGCCGGCCCACGACUCGACCGGCCGUCCUCGCCGCUCCGCUCCUAGACGUCCGCCGCUCGAGACCCCACGGCCGAGCCCCGCACCGCAGCCGCCGCCGCCGCCCAGCGACCCGCGACCCAGCUCCGUCACCCGCUCACAGGUGGAGAUGCUCGCAGCGGCUGUCGGCGCCGGAGAGGACGACGGUGGAGAAGCCGGAUGGUCUCGAGACAGAGGCGGCUGUCGGCGCCGGAGAAGACGACGGUGGAGACACUUGCAGAAGGAGAGGCUCGCAGGAGAACACGAUUUUGUUUCUUUUUUGUUCUUCAAAUAUGUUUCAGAAAUAAGAAAUAAGAAAUUCUUGUUUCUUAUUUUUGUUUGUUUCUUAUUUUUGUUCCCUUUUUGUUUCUAGGAACAAAAAAACAAAAAAGAAACAGAAAUGCACCCAAACGCGUUUCUGUUCCUUUUUUGUUCCCAGAAACAAAAAAAUAGAAAUUUUUGUUCGUGGGAACAGAAACACGGUGCAAACAAACGCGCCCUAAAUGACAAAGUAAGUGCAAUGAGAGUCAUUGAUGUUCACGCCAAACGUAUGCCAUGACCAUUCCUUAGCCGAGAGAAUGUAAGCAGCGACAUCUUCUAGAUAGUGGUUACUGGCAAUUUUUUUUUUUUUUAUCCCCGGCCUGAUCAAAUUAUCCGAGUUAUAAACUCAGAAAGAAGUUAAUGAGCAAUCUACCGCUAGGACCUAUGAAGGGUCAUAUGUUGUUGGUUACACAUCGUGUUGGAAUAUAAUAUACGGAAAUGAAAAGAUCUUGCAAUUUACGUCAACGUGCAAACUCCAGAAAAAUAAAUGAGAAAUAAUAAGAACACCAUAACUUUACGUGAUUCGGUCCGAGUAUUAGUACCUACAUUCACGGGAGAGUUAGCAACAAAUAACCCACUAUAAUAAAAAAAUCAGAGUUUACAAUCGCUCACAUGCUUGAGUAUUUUCUACACCUAGAUUUCAACUCAAGAGUUUAUAAAUAAACAACUCAUUUUAACAUAAAUUCACGACAUAAAAUUACCACUCGUUCAAAAACAAAAUGCUCUACGUACGCCAAAAACAAGAAUUCCAGCAUUUAUCUUUUGGUUCGCGUAGAUACGGAUUUGUGUUCUUCUUUGCUUGAUCGUGCGGCGCUAUUCUAGACGUUCCUUUUGGCUCUUUCUUCUUCGUAGGGCUUCAGUAACUUUUUCUAUAAAAAAAAAAAAGGACGUUCUAUUUUAUAUAUGUGCCUAGAGUCAACAACUUUGACUCUGGGCCCACCAUGUGCUUCUUUCUUCAGUGGGAAGUGGGACGCUGCAGGUAAGGCGAAGAAACCUUCCUUUUAUUCAUUUUUCUUCAUAUUUCCUUUAUUUUAUGGGAUAUGUUUGGCAGAAGUCCUAAAACUUGUCCAGAAAGUGCAAUUGAGUCCUAAAACUUACAAAAAGUUCAAUCAAGUCCUAAAACUUGUCAAAUUGGUUCAAUUGAGUCCUAAAGUUAACACCGUUAAGAAAAUUAACAGAAAUUGCUGACGUGGCGCUGACGUCAUAUUUUAAAUGAUCUUUUUUAUUUUUCAAAUAGCUUUUUUAAAUUAUUUUUAUUCAAAAUCUUUAAAAAUUAGAUUAAAAACUAAAAAGGAAAAUCUAAAUUUAUUAAAAAAACAAAAUUGUUCAAAAAAAAAAAAAGAAAAAAGGGCGGUGGACUUUCGCCGCUGCCCAUCGCCGAAGGGGCCGGCGAUCGUCGCCGGCCCUGGGCGGGGGCGAUGGUCGCCAUCCCUUGCCUGGGGCCGAGCAACCGUCGCCCGCCUUGGGCGAGGCCUCGUCGGCCCUCGCUUGGGGUCGGCGAGGCUCGCUAGAUCUGGGCGAGCCUCGCCCUCGCCAGCCACCCCUGCCCAGGGCCGACAACUGUCGCUCGGCCCCUUCGGCGAUGGGCGGCGGCGGCGGCGGCGGCGGCAGCGGCGGCGGGGAGAAGAGGGCUGCUUUUUUUUAAAACAAUUUUAAAAAUAACUUUUAUAACUUUUCUUUUUAAUUUUUAGAUAAAAUGAAUAAAUUUAAUUUUUUAGUUUUAAUUCUUUUUUUAAAAAUGAAUAAAAAUCAUUAAAAAAAUCCACGUGGAAAAUAAAAAAUAAUUAAAAAUGAUACGUCAGCAUUUUUAACAGAAAAAGCUAACGGUGUUAACUUUAGGACUUAAUUGAACUAACUUGACAAGUUUUAGGACUUGAUUGAACUUUUUGUAAUUUUAGGACUCAAUUGCACUUUUUGGACAAGUUUUAGGACUUCUGCUGAACAUAUCCCUUAUUUUAUAUAUGUUGUGUGCCUAAAGUCAAGACUUUUGACUUUGGGCCCACAUAAAUAACCUUGUUUGGCUCCCGUAGAUAAAGAAGAAACUUUGUUCUUUUUAUUAUUAUUAUAUUUUCUUUCCUCUUUCGUAAACCUUCACAAAGUCCAACAAAGCUUCUUCUAUUGAUCGAAACAAUCAAAGACCCAAAAAGAAUUUCGAAUUUAUUUUCUUGUGCAUAAUCUUGAAUAUUAUCUUUAUCAGAAAAAUAUCUUCACGAUCAAAUAAUAAAAUUUUUAUCCAAGCGGAUCGCAUUUUGCAAAUACUCAAACUCGAGACAUAAUUUAACACAUCCGACAUGAUAUACUGCCCAAUUACUAUCCUCUGACAAUUUAUAUUUGAUUAAUCUAAUUCAAGAAUAUUCAUUUGUUAGACUUGUUGGCUUACACGCCACUGUCACGUGAUAUAUCCUAUAUUGAGAAUACUCAAUGAGCUUUGACUCUAGAUACUUGGGAGCAUCUAUGCUUGUUUUAUGUAUGUUAUGCUUGUGAUGCAUCUUGUUUUGAGUGGACUGUAGAAAUAUUUAAGUUCGUGCCAAUUUGACUAAUUUUUUAUCUGGAUAAGUGCAUUGGAAGAUUUAAAACUUAUCAUAAAAAUACAAUUAAGCCAUGAAACUUUGAAAUCAAGUUCUAGAACUUGUCACAUUGGUCUAAUCUAAAUCCUACCAUUGCAUUUUUGAAAAUUUCGGUACUUAACUGCAAUUUUCUAACAAGUUUUAGUAUUUCCAAUAUACUUUUUUUUUUUCAACCUCAGUAAUGUUUUUAAGCAACAAUGAGCUUGACAUAUCUCUGUUUUCGGAAUUUCAGUGGCUAUAGGAAACAAAAGGACGUCCUCUAAUGAAUCAACAAUCUUCUGCCAUGACAAAGCUGGAAGAGAGAUGAGUGUCUUCCAUAGUUAUAAAAAAUGUUCAUGCAAUAAUCUGUAGGAAUUCGUCUUCCUGACGUGCAUGAACAUUUCCGGCCAUGAAACAUUUCACGGUGAAGACAUUCUGUCACUUAAACCGGCAAAAGGAUAUCGAGCUUGUUCUUUUGGCGAGUGUAUUGCCGUCAAAUAUGCCUGAUUAAUUCCACGACUAUUAGCAUUUGUUUAAAUAGAGCAUACAACCUAAAAUGCUCACAAAGGUAGCUGGUACUGGAUCCUCAUGUCUGCCCAUGAAAUUCUGAGUGCCUCAGACAUGGCAUAUCAGGCACACAAACAAUUCUCAACCCAGAAAUUAGUACGUACACAACAAAAGUUUAAAAAAAAAAAAAUUGGUUUGGUUAAUGUGGAAAUUUAACAUCAUGACAAGCAUAAAAAACUGUUCAGCAGUACAGUAGAGAGGUCAAGACCUGAGAACACUGUAUUGAGACUUAUUCAGAUGAACACUUCAGAUAGUCACUGAAAAGCUAAGGAGCAGAUGAAUUGAAUAAAGAACAAUGGCGAUGAUAAUACCUGCGGCUGAAUUUGUAGGGGGAGAGAAGUCCUAGAAACCGUCAUAGAUGCCAUAGCGAUGGAUGUUCACGAUUAAUCUUUGAGCUUACUAUUGUGGAAAAGUAUUAGUGAUUCGCCAAACGUAACCCAUGACCCUUCCUUAACCAAAGAACGCAUGCAAUGACAUCUUCUGGAGAGCGGCUCCUGGAAUUUUUCCAUCCACAACCUAAUUGCAUUAUCAACCUACUGACACAUAAAAGAUGUCAAUAGGCAAUGUGCUGUUGCACCACUGGACCCGCAAAUGGUCAUCAAUGUCGGUUAUACCGCCAAUAAUUUGUACCUGACCCUUCAUAGUCGUAUUAUUCGAUUAAUCUAUUUAAAGAACAUUCAUUUUCUUCAAACAUGCUUUCUCACGUGCCACUGUAAUAUGAUGUUUUUGAUACACAAAAUACUAUCUCUUCAAGAGCUUUGACUCCUAUAUACUUGGGACAUUAAAUUGUUUUAGCAACAAUGAGCUUGGGAUAUCUCUGUUUUCGGGAUUUCAGUUGCUAAGGGAAACAAAAAGGACGUCCUCUAAUGAAUCGACGGUAUUUUGCUAUAACAAACCUGGAAGAGAGAUGAGCGUCUUACAUAAUUACAAAAAAAUGAUCACGCAAUAGUUGGUAGAAAUUUACUCUGCUGACGUGCAUGAACAUUCUGAACAAAAAACGGAAAACAUGCAUGAACAUUUCCGGCCAGGAAGCAUUCACGAGGAGCUGAGAGACACUCUAUUUCUUAAAGCAGCAAAAUGAUUACGAGCUUGUUCUUUUGGUGAGUGGAAUGAAUAAAUUGUUCAAAAAAUCCUAAACUUAUUGUCCGACCACUAAUUUAAUUCUAAACGUUUUAAUUUGAUCAAUGUUGUCUAAAACUUUUGACAAUUUUUUGUAGUCCACCUAGUUAAAUUUAGGUCGAAAAUCAGUGAUGAAGCAAUUUAGUAAACACUAGCUGUUUUAAGUGAUACAACCGAUAGCUGAUAUAGAUGAUCUUAAAUGAUGUGGCGUCGUUUCACAAUUUUUUAAUAUUCUUUCUUUUUCUUUUUUAGUAAUUUUUUUUCCUAUUCUUUCGUUCUCUAGUGUUCAUUUUCUUCCCUCUGCCGGUGGCCGAUGCCUCAGCAAUGACCGGCGACCAUCAUAGGCUACAAGUGAGGGCAUUGAGCGAGACUUGCAAGCCUUCUCCUAGAUUUGGGCAAGGGCCCUAUAGGCCCUCAUUGGCCGUAGGCAAGGUUGGGGACUUGCAAGCCCUUGCCUAGAUCUACCCUCUAAUGGGGUCAAUGCCUGCCAUCACCAAAGCCUCAAUGUCUUGCUCUGGAAAGAAAAUGAACAGCAGAGAAGGAGACAAUAGGAAAAGAAAGAAAAAAGAAAAAGAGAGGAAAGGAAAAAGGGAAAAAAUCUGAAAAUAAUAACAAAAAAUUGCAAAAUGACGUUGUUUCAUUUAAGAUCAUCCAUGUCAAUUGCCAAUCAUGCAACGUGGCCUACCUUGUUGGAUGUAGUAGAUUUAGGAUAUUUUGAAUAUUUUUCUCCUAUUAAAUAUGCCCGGUUUAUUUGAUAUCCUAAAAUUUGUCAACUUUGUGAAAUCAAGUUCUAAAAUUUGUUGGCACUCUUUUCAUAUUGGAUGAAGUUAAUGAAAUGACUUGAUUACAACUACUUGGUAAGUUUUAUGACUUGAUUGUAAUUUUUGAAAAUUGUCGGACUCAAUUGCAUCUCUAUAAUAAGUUUUAAAACUUGAUUACGCUAUCUAAAAAUUUUAAGAUUUUCAAUAUACUUAUCCCUAAAAUAAAAUAAAAAGGGCCUACCCCCUUUACAUGAACUCUUUAAUUUAAACGCACCAUGGAAUUUCCUGUCCUUUUACACAAUUUCAUUAACUAAGAUUUUAUUUUAUUUUUUGGGUUAAAACCAAGAUUUAGUUCUUCUUCUUCUUUUUUUUCGGACCAGCCAAGAUUUAGUUCAAAGAUAGAUAUUUUGAGGAGAAAAAAAUUUCAGCAAACUAUGCAAGGAUUUGCAAAAGAUCGCAACAAUAUUACCGGAAGCAUAUAAUUAUUUAUCACUGACGAAUGAUAUAGUAAAAAUUCUUUUAGAAGUUUACCUUAAGUUUAGCAAGAUCUGCUUAUUCGGCAGCCUUGAGUUUCUUCGAUUCCUUCUCUCUUGCCUUCAAACAGAUAUAGAAAUGGCAACGCAGAAUAUCAAGAUAGAUUGCCAUUGACAAAGCUGUAAAAGCCUACUCAAUCGAGCAAAACUGGGACAGUUUUUCCAGCAAUCUUGACCACCUCCGUAGCAUGCCGUGGAAAUAGAUAGGAACACAUGUAGAGGGACAAGCUGAUUAUCACUUGCUUUUAGUCAAGCAUUCGAAACUUUGAGAUUCAUGCACUAUAAGAUAGCUAGACAAGCAAAAAAAAUGAUGGGCAUUUCAGUUGAGGUGUCAAGAGCAAUUAGAUUGAAUUCAAACCAAAUAAAGCUUGACGCAGAAAAGAGAAAUGUUGUGCAUUGAGCGAAUAUAUGACAAAAUAAGUGCAAAGAGAGUCAAUGAUGUUCUAGCGCUUUGGCCAAUUGAGUUCUUAAAAUUUUACUUUGCUUAAUUGAAUCCUCGGCCUUUUCAAUUUCAGUCAAUUGAGUCCCUCAACCUUGAUCCUCGGAAAUAGUCACAUGGCUAUGAUUUUCCAAGUUGAUAAGAAGAUGCUCGAGAAGAAAACCGGGUAGGAGGUGAAAUGGGACCUAAGUGCAAGUUUUACUAUUUCAGUAACUACAAUUGAUCUGACAGAAGGUUGAACUUUCAUGGAUCUGGCACUUCGUUUGAAGCUAUACAAACAGAAAUCAGCGGGCUCAAGAAGCCAAUCUUUUAGACAGUUUCUGAAUUAUCACACAGAAAAGCACUAGGAUAUCUUUACACAUUCACUUAUUAUAUCCUCUAUAAACUAACAGUUAUUAGAGUAUAUUAGGCAUCAUUUAUUUGUAGUACAUUAGGUACAGAUGUCCUCUCUCUGAAAUUCCCUCUUUUCCUCUUCUUACGAUUAGCUUUGCCAGAAGAUGUUUCCAACUUCCGACAUUGAUGAUGUCAUUUCAAGGAGUUCUCAAUGUUUAUCACAAAUCGGUACUUAACAUCUCUCUUGAUGAGCCCCUCAAGGGCUUCAUUGGCAUAAUCGAUCAGUAUCACUUCGAUUUCUUGGUGUAUGUGCUGUGGCGCACAGAGGUCUAUCAUUUCUUGGAUAUACUUCAUUCCUCCAGUAGCGCUACCCAAAACUGUUUUCAUACCUGCAAAAAGUUCAUUGUGAGCAACUUAGUUGGCUUGCCUAUCAGGUAUCAAUAUUUCAUUCGGUAAUGAGCUUUGAGAAUAAAAACAUACCAAGGUUAAGGGAGGAAGUACACUAAUGGUGCCAUAAGUUAUGUACGGCGCUCACUUUGGUGUCAAAAAUUUUUGUCGGAUCACUUAAGUGCCAAAAAUUUUGAAAAACGAUCACUUUGGUGCCAUCGUCGAUUUGGUUGGUCGGAAAUCUGACGUGACAAUUUUUUAUUAAUUUUUUAUGCCGACGUGGAUCGUCGGAUAAUACAAUCAACAAACAAAGAACAAAACGAUGCCGUUUACCAUUUUCCCCCAAAUAAAAACCCCUAAAUCCCUAAUUUCGACUAGAACUGGAAGUUGAAAACCCUAAAUCCCCAAUUCGACCAUUUCGAGUGCAUAUUUCGAUUUUCUGCCAAAGUUAUCAACUUGCUUUUGCAAAUGGAGGACAAAAGUUUCAACAGUGGCUCGCAUUCCUAUAAGAAAAGCGAAUUAGAUGGUGAGUGUUACUGUUAUUGUGGGUUACCGAGUCCGAGAAGAAUAUCUUGGACUUGGUUGAAUCCCGGGAGAAGAUUCCAUGGGUGCGGCAGAUAUAGAGAAAGCUCGAAGUGCCAUUAUUUCAAAUGGGUUGAUAGGAAAUUCUCUAAUCGAGCGACAUAUGUGAUAUUGGAGUUACUUGAAGGCCAAAAUCAACCUCCAUCUAUGUUAAUGGACGAGCUGGGGGAUGUCGACUCAAUACAAGCUCAAAUGAAGGGUUUAACAUCUCUGAUGGACCAUUUGAAGAGAGAGGUUUCAAGGCUGAAAAUUGAAAGAAACUUUAUCGAGCGUUGAUUGUAUUCUUAUUCUCUUGGGUAGUUUAUUCAAAUGUAAAGUGAGUAAUGAGAAGAAAUUUGUAUGUCUACCAUAGUCGAAGACGUGGAAUAUGCACUUGUAUUGGAUUAUUUAUAAGUAAAAUGUGUUUUUUGGUUUGUUGCAAUUUUUAUAUAGAGCAGAAUGUUUUAUUGUUGUAAUCUAUAGGUAGAAAUGUAAGGUUGGACUUGGAAUGCAUUAGUUGUGAGCACUUAAAAAGUUUUGUUGUUUAGUUGUGUAUUGUCAAUGUUUGUUUUUGUUAGUUUUUACUUCAAAUAUAAUGGUUUACUGCAUUUUUUAUUUGGUAAUAGUUUGCUGCAUUGAAAGCAAACGGUAAUGGUUUGCUGCAUUUUUUAUUUGGUAAUGAUUUGCUGCAUUGAAAGCUUUUGAUAAUGGUUUGCUGCAUUUUUUUUAUUUGGUAAUGGUUUGCUGCAUUUUUUAUUUGGUAAUGGUUUGCUAGUUUGCUGGUUUGCUUCAACUGUUAAACCAUGGCUGAAUGGCCGAAAUUAAAGAAUGGUGCCAAAUUCACGAUUGAUCAUUUCAGUGCCAUAAGUUGUAAAUAGUGAUCGCUUAAGUACCAAGUUUUUAUAGAAGUGAUCAUUUAAGUGCUAGUCGCAAUUACAAAGUGAUCACUUAUGUUGCACAAGUUUUUUAAAAAAUAACAUGUUAGUGCCAAACGUCACAUUCCAAAUGCACAGAGUUCUUGCACCAGUUGAGUUGCUGGUGCAUCUUCUUGCACCAACCCAUACAGAUGUCGAUGCAACAAGAUGUACCAGCACCCAAAGUGCUCUUGUAGCAGCACAUAUAAUCAGAACCCCACAAAUUCAUUAUAAUCCACAACUUUAACCAACAACAGCAACAUUGCAGCAACAACAACAUUGCAAUAACAACAAAAAUAAAAUAUAUAGCAUAACUAACUUGCUAGCAUUCUAGCUAAAACCAACACAAGAGAAAAUGAAAAGUCAUUCCAGUACUUGCCAUUAACAUUGCUUGAUUGUUUACAAAAUACAAAAUACAAAAAAAAAAAAAAAAAACAUGUCUAACUUCACUCCCUAAUCAUCAAAAGUUCAGCACUUUCCUAAAAAAAAACAAUGGCAAUAUGCAAGCAGCAACUACCAUUGAUGAUAUAAUAUCCAGCACACUCCUAAAAAAAGAAAACAUGGAAAGAGACCAUGUCUAGCAUCACAUAAAAAGAGACCAUGUCCAACACCCUCCCAUCAGUCAAUAUUGACAACACCCUGAUCUCUUUUUCUUAUUAGAGCUUUGAAUUGAUUCAUAAUCCGAGCACUCUUUCGAACUGGAUGUGCAGGUUCUUAACUGGGCUUUCUGUCACCUCAUUUUCCUUUUCCUUGUUUUUUACGGCAGCUAUUUUUGUUCUAGCACGUAUCAUGUGUUGGUCCAUAUCAUCACUACUGCUCCCAAUCGUUGGUUGAGAUGGAACUAGUGAUGGGUUCUUUUUGGAUGGCUGUUUCGCAGCUAUACCCACUGUCUUCUUCUUCUUCUUCUUUGGAGCACUCUUCUUUGGAUGCGCCCUUAAUUCUUGAGUUGGCCCACCUUGAGAGAGAAGUACCUCUGAAGUUCUCCCAGGCUACAAGAACAUAAUGAUAUUGUCAACCAAAUGAAUUGAAGUACAACAAAUUAAAUGCAUAAGGCCUAUAAAUUUUACAUUCAAAAUAGUCAUUCCAGUACGUUCAUCUGUGUAAAUCCCAUAACCAUAUUGCCUUAAUUUUUUUCCAAGAGCCCCUUUUGUUCGCUGUGAUGCAUCAUUUUCAGCAACAACAAUCUGAUAUUGCUAGUAUGAGUACCUAGAGGGGGGUGAAUAGGUAUAUAAAGAGUUUUUCUCAAGCAAUUGCACAAUACUAGACAGUUGGAUGAAACGAUAAUCAAAGUAAGACUGAGAGAAGAGAAAAUUUAAUACGCGGUUUAUAGUGGUUCGGCUUAUAUCAAGCCUACGUCCACUCUUCUUCACUGACAGCCUAUUGGCUGGAUUCCACUAUGAACAAGAGAGAGGUUACAGCACAGCUUUGCCUUGAUUCCACAGUGUAGAUGUUCUACUACACCUCCUCAAGAUUUCUCACAAAUAUAGACUCUCUCUUUCGUAUACAAGUAUUCGCUCAAAGGAUUUGUCUAAACAAAAAGAAGUUUCAGACUUUGGAAUUCUUCUAUCGCGCACACCUUGAACAACUAAGACAGUCUUCCUUAUAUACUCCUUUAUGCCAUCAUACCCGUUGGCACUUACCAAAGGAAUUCCUCCAAUCUACCCGUUGAACGGAAUCAAUUAGGAAGAUUGUCCAAGCUAUAAAUGGAACGUGUUGAUAGCCCAUCAAUCAUGUUCGCCCAUACAAUCAGGAUCUCGGUUUCCAUAAGCAGAACCUUCCAAUAAUAUUUAGGCAAUCACCGGAUCUUCAAUUAUCGAAUCAAUCUUCGAUCAAUCAAAGGACUCCGUUUAUGUCUUCUCCAGCCAUGAGAUCUUCUCCAGUUGAUAAGGUUAAAUCCUCAACGAAACAUCCAGUUCUGGAUAACCUUUCUUCAACAAAUUAGAGACUGUCAAUGAGGAUAGACUUUGAGUCUUGAGUCUAGCUGUCCUAAGGUCUUUAGACUUUAAAUAGCAGAGUCUGCAAGCCUUCAGACUAGACUGAUAUAAACGAUUUGUCAACUUCAAAACACUUCAAGAAGAUUUCUCCAACAAUCUCCCCCUUUUUGAUGGUGACAAAACUUUCCUGCAGAUUUGGAUAUCUUUGACCUGCAAAACAUUUCUCAAACACAUAUACAUAUCUUAUAGAGGUAAAUGUCUUAACAGAAUAACACUAGAAUCUGCAACCACAGAAAAUAGGUUAGUCCAGUAUAUGAUGAAGCCAUCCAUAAGAUAUCAAUAUUAGUUAAUAGAAGCAGUCAAGUCCAAGUCUAGUUUACUUCUCAUCCAAACACAAACCAAAGUCAAAUAGAUUCAAACCACAAAACAAUCCAACAAAAACAAUUAAAAGUUGAAUGAAAGGUUUUUAAUCAAAUCUUGCAUCUCUCCCCCUUUUUGUCAUCAUUAAAAAGGAUGAGAUGAAGUUAAGAAUGCUUGGGAACGCGGACAAGCUGGAAAUCUUCCAUAGACUGAACAAUGCCUUCCAACCUUUUAAAGUCUUCCUUUAGCUGUGCAAUCUCCUCACUCUUGGCAUUGGCCUGAUUCUGAACAGAGAGGGCUUGCAUUUUAUCAUUCAAUAAACAGGAAGAAGCUUGACCUUCAUUCUUCAAGCUUUGAACUUCGCAUCCCAAGGCAUAAAUCUGACCUCGCAUCUCCAAAAGAAUAUCCAUGAUUCUGCGAAAAUCUGCUCCAUUAUCAGUUUGAGUACUUGCUUCGGCUCGAUCUGAUGGAGUAAAUGCAGAUGAUGGUAGAUCAGCAUAAUCUUGCAGGUUUGGCGAUGAAACUUCAUGACCUUCUUCUGGAAAUUGAGAUGCAUAAACAUCCUCUGGAUCUGCUGGUGAGCGACUGAUUCCUUCACUUGCAUCAGGACAUGAAGACUUCACUCCUUUCUCCUGAUCUCCCCCUGUUUCCAUGCCUACAGGUGGAGAAGAGUGUUCUUCAGGUUCUCCUUCUUCUCUUCUUUCUUCUUCAGGUCUUUCCUCCUCUGUUUCUUUUUCAGCUUCUAUUUCUUCUUCUUCCUUCUCCUCUGCUUCUUUCGUCAUUUGCUCCGAUUCUUUCUGUGGAACAAGACGACUUAAAUUCUUCAAAGCCAAUGCAGAGAUGGUGAUGUCUUCCUCAUCAUCUUCAUCCUCAACAAGGAGAGCUCUUCUUCUCUUGGAUGGAGCAACCAUGGGCUCCUUCCCUUUUCUUUUAGCUGCAGAAGAUAUUUGAUGAGAUUUUGCAGGAGUCUUCUCCUUGAAUUUCUCCAACUCCUUGCUCAGUUCUUUCAGACGCAUUUUGGUCACCAUUUUCAGACCUACCACCAUAUGAUCGCAUGGUCGAACACAAAAGAUUUGUAGAGGCUGAAUAUUCAGAUGUCUGAAUAACUUCGUAACAAGGCUUGGGUAAGGGAGUUGACCUCCGUCCUUCAUCAUUGCUCUAUACAUGUGAAACAUCACAGUGUGAGGGAGAGAAAACCUUUUUCCAAAGAGAAUGGCAUACAUCAACUUGGCCUCUGAACUUGAAACAUCAGUCUUGGAAGUCGAUUUCGGUCGGAUGCAAUUAAUCACAAUCUUGUGAAGCAAGAUGUUGAAUGCACCCAUCCUUAAGUAGGUGAUCUUUUCAUCUGUUCUCCUGUCCUUCACCAGUUCAAGAGUGGCCCGAGCAAUGGAAACUUUGAUUGGCUGAUAUCUUCCUCUUUCGACUUCUAACACAUCUGCCAGCAUAUUCAUAUCCACAACAUAAUCUUGGUUUUUAACGCUGAACGAGAAUCUAUUCGCAUCCAAAAAGCUUAGAUUUGAAUAGAAAUAUGCAGUUAAUUCAGCAUAGGCCUCUGUAGAGUCAGAGCAGAACUUUUCAAGUUGAAGAUAACUGAACUUUUCCCUCAAGUUCAUAUUCACAGCAUCCAGAAAAUCGAAAUCUACACUCCUAGGGUUUAUCACCCCACGCUUCAGCAAUUUCGAGUACAGAUCCUUUUGCUCCUUUGAUCUGAACAAAUCUCCCCUUUUUCCUUGGUUAUCAACCGCAACACCCAUUUUCGGUUGGAAUUGACUGUACAAUUUAUCAUCAUCAUUCCCAUCUACAGGAUUCGGCCCCCAGUCACGAGGAUCACUUGGGAUAUUUGCAAGGGUUUCCUCAGCCACCCCUUUUCGAGCAAUUCCCAAACUUUCCAUUUUUUUCAGAAAGAUAUAUUCGUUCCCAUGUCCUUUGUCUUUAAGAAAAUCAUCAAUGUAGUUCAAAGGAGUACGAAUUCCUUUUAGGGCACGAUAUAACUGGUAAAUAUAAGUGGGCUUUUGAACUCUUACAGGGUCUGCAUCCUCGAUGAUUUCUUCCUGUUGUUGAUGAUCAACGCCUUGAGGACUAGAUGGAGGAGAAUGACACUGUUGAGAAUGUUGUGGGCUCGCUUGCUGAUCUGGAGUCACUUCAUCUUCAGUAAGAUCGAAGUGCGUAGGCCCCUCACUCAUCCGCCGUGGUCCCCUGCUUGCAAUUCUCGAAGACUUUCUUGAAGAUGACAUCUUAGUUUUUGGAAGAUUCCUUGCUUGACUUUCCCAGGAAAGAUGACAACUUUUUAAGGAUUAAACGAAGAAGACAAACGGGAAUGGAGGAUCGAUGCUUUCUAGGGUUUUUGAGAGAAAAGUGAAGAGGAAUCGAUAGUUCACGAUCGGUUAAGAAGAGGGAUAAACGAACCAUCAUAAAGGAAAUAAAAAUAUGCCUUUUCAAAAUAACUGUCUUUUUCCGCAAAAAUAGCCAUUUCAAAAAUAACUUCCCUUUUGAAAAUGAAACGAUGCAAUAUUUACUUCAAUUAAAUAUAGCAACAAUUUAAACACAGUCUGACAAUCGUACCUUUUCAAGAUGAGAUUCAAGAGAGAAAGACUUACAGUCUGACGGACGUACCAAGACUGUCUUUCAGAUAAAGUCUUGUAAGUCUGAGUCUGAAAGUCUUUAGACUUUGAUAUCCUCAUACCUCAAAAUGUUGAGUCUCGAGCGUAUAGACUCAAAUUGAUUUUUCUCCAAAGGCUUUGUGAAUAUAUCCGCCAGUUGAUUCUUUGAGUCAACAAAUUGAAUUGAAACAUCUCCAUUUUGAACAUGGUCUCUUAUAAAAUGAUGUCGAAUCUCUAUAUGCUUUGCUCUUGAGUGGAGAAUUGGAUUUUUGGUGAGGUUGAUAGCGCUGGUGUUGUCGCAAUUAAUUUCCGUGCAUGAGUCUUCAAUUUCAAAGUCUCUUAGCUGUUGUUUUAUCCAUAGAAUUUGCGAAUAGCAGCUUCCCAGAGCUACAUACUCUGCUUCUGUUGUUGAAAGAGACACAGUGCUUUGUUUCCUUGAAAACCAAGACACUGUCCUGCUUCCAAGCAACUGGCAAGUUCCCGAAGUGCUCUUUCUAUCAACUCUGCAAUCGGCCAGAUCUGCAUCUGAAUAUCCCAUAAGAUUAAAGUCUCCCUUCUUAGGAUACCAAAGACCGAUGCUUGAUGAUGAAGCAACGUAUUUAAUGAUGCGUUUCGCAGCACUGAGAUGGGAUUCUCUAGGAUCUGAUUGAAACCUAGCAUAGAUGCAAACACUCAACAAGAUGUCAGGUCUAGAAGCAGUAAGAUAAAGGAGUGAACCAAUGAUGCUUCUGUACAGCUUUUGAUCAACUUUCUUCCCUUCUUCAUCUUUGUCUAUCUUCAAAGAACUUGACAUCGGUAUGUCGGUCUUUUUGCACUUUUCUAAUCCAAAUCUUUUGACAAGAUCAUUAACAUAUUUUUCUUGAUAAAUAAAGGUUCAUUCCUUCAAUUGUUUUACUUGAAGACCAAGAAAGAAUGUUAACUCUCCCAUCAUACUCAUUUCAAAUUCAUCCUGCAUAGACUUAGAAAAUUUCUUGCACAUAUUUUCAUUAGAAGAUCCGAAUAUAAUGUCGUCCACAUAUAUUUGAACAAGUAAGAAACUUUUGUUCUCCUUUUUGAUAAAUAAAGUAGUAUCCACUUUACCUUUGACAAAACCAUUUUGUAUUAAAAACUUACUUAAUCUGUCGUACCAAGCUCGAGGUGCUUGCUUUAAACCAUACAGAGCCUUCUUCAGUCUGAAGACUGAGUCUGGCUUCUUUGGGUCUUCAAACCCUGGUGGUUGUUCCACAUAAACUUCCUCUUGGAUGACUCCAUUUAGGAAGGCGCUUUUGACGUCCAUUUGGAAUAACCUGAAAUUCUUAUAACAAGCAAACGCAAGUAAUAGUCGAAUAGCUUCUAACCUUGCUACUGGAGCAUAAGUCUCAUCAUAGUCUAUUCCUUCUUCUUUCAUAUAUCCCUUGGCCACGAGUCUUGCUUUGUUUCGUAUGACUUUUCCUUUCUCAUUCAUCUUGUUUCUGAACACCCAUUUAGCUCCAAUAACAGUUUUACCUUUUGGUUUGGAUGUCAAUUUCCAGACAUCAUUAAUGCUAAACUGUCUGAGCUCUUCUUGCAUAGCUUCAAUCCAGCUUUCAUUAGAUAAAGCUUCUUCUAUGCUUUUUGGUUCAAUUUUAGAAACGAGAGCCACAACACUAGACUUUUCUCGCCUUUUGGAUCUAGUGCGAAUUCCUUCAUUCAUUUCGCCGAUUAUAAGAUCUUUGGGAUGACUGGACUUAUGCUUCCAGUUACUCGUUGAUCUGUCUGGUUGAUGAUUUCUUUCUUUGUUUGGAUCUUCACGAACAUCUUGAAGCUGGUUUUCCAGAGUCUGAGAUGCUUCUUGAGAUGUAAGCUUUGGAAGAUCUGGAGCAGGUUCAGACUCUUCUUGAUGAGUCUGACUUGAUUCAUCUUGUGUUGAGUCUUGGAAUUUGACAUUCAUUGACUCCUCCAUAAACUGGCUCUUCUUGUUAUAGACUCUGAAGGCUUUGCUUGAUGUAGAAUAUCCAAGGAAGAUACCUUCAUCUGAUCUUUCUUCAAACUUACCAACUUGAUCUUUUGCAUUUUUCAAUAUAAAACAUUUGCAACCGUAUACAUGAAAGUAUGAAACAAUAGGCUUCUUAUCUUUGAACAAUUCGUAAGGGGUUUUCUCUAGAAUAGGUCUUAAGAAGAUUCUAUUGAUGAUAUAACAUGCUGUUGAAACAGCUUCAGCCCAAAAUCGUGAAGAAAUCUUGCUUUCAAAUAAAAGAGUUCUAGCCAUUUCCUGAAGAGAUCUGUUCUUUCUUUCCACAACUCCAUUUUGCUGAGGAGUAUAUGGAGAGGAGAACACAUGAUUAAAGCCAGAUUCAUCACAAAAUUUUGUAAAAUCUUGAUUUUCAAAUUCACUUCCAUGAUAUGUUCUUAUACUUGAGAUAACACAUCCUUUUUUCAUUUUGAACCUUUUUAGCAAACUUUUCAAAAUACGAGAAGGUUUCAGACUUACUUGCAAGGAAAUAUACCCAAGUAAAACGGGAGUAAUCGUCCACAAUUACUAGGCAAUAUUUCUUACCUCCAAUACUCUGUGUUCUGGUUGGUCCGAAGAGAUCCAUAUGCAGCAACUGUAGUACAUGAUUAGUAGAGACAUGAUUUAUUGGCUUGAAUGAAUUUCUUAUCUGCUUUCCCAGAAUACAUGGAGUGCAUGGAUCAGUCUUUUGAUAAGGUAAUUUGGGUAGUCCUUGAACAAGCUGCUUUGAUGAGAUUUUGGCUAAUUGCUUCAUGUUAACAUGACCAAGCUUUCUGUGCCAUAAGCUUGCUUCGUCUUGAAUUGAGAUAAAACAUUGCGAUUCAUUUGGUUUCACAUCCAGAAGAUAAAUGUUUCCAUGUCUACGACCCAUGAAAGACUGAGUAGAGUCUUUACUGAUUCCAGAACAUAUUCCUUCUUGAAAAAAGAUCUUGAAACCAGUAUCACACAAUUGACUAAUGCUGAGAAGAUUGUAAUUGAGUCCUUCCACUAAGGAAACAUUACUUAUUGUGAGAUUUCCAAUUUUCACAGUUCCAAAUCCCACAAUACUCCCUUUGUUGUUUCCUCCAAAUGAAACUUUUCCACCAUUUACUUGAGCAAUCUUUAUAAAACAAUUUGAGUCUCCUGUCAUGUGUCUUGAGCAUCCACUGUCAAGAUACCACUUUACCUUUUUCUUGACGGUGACCUGCAUUUAAAAAAGAGUCUCAAGCUUUCUUUGGUACCCAAACUUUCUUGGGUCCUUUUGUGUUAGUAACAUAAGCAGUAUUAGCCCAUAUUCUCUUAACAGGUUUCCAAACCAUAGGACACUCUUUUUCAAGGUGAUCCGGACUGUUGCAUUUUGAACAUUUUAGAGCAUUUCUUCCUACAGAUUUUACAAAAACUUUCUUGAAGUGAUUUUUGUAAACCUCUCUCGAGAGUCUUUUCUUAAUUCUUUCUUUUACUUUAGGAAAAUCAAUCAGGGGAAUUGUUUCUUCUGUCAUACCUAAACCGGACUUAUUGAAGUAAGGUCUUUGAGCUGAAAGAAUUUUCUCAAGUUUUUCGGACCCUAUUGAAAAUUUCUUUGAGAUAUUUGAUAAGUCUGUUUUUAAAAAAGCAUUUUCUUUUAAAAGAUCAUCUUCAUUUUCUUUAAGAGUGGAAACAGUCAAGUCAAGACUUUUAACUCUUUCUACUAAAACAUUUUCCUUUUGUUUUAGAGCUGAGUUUUCCUUUUUCAGUUCGGAAAUUCUUUUGAGAGAAGUCUUAAGACUAAAACAUAAUUCAUCAAUAUAUUUAGAAACUUUGACAGGAAUUUUAAUAUCACUUGCCUCAAAUUUACUGUCUGAGUUUGAUCCAGAGUCUGAGUCUGAUUGUGCCAUCAGACAUAGAUUGGCAUAUUCAUUAUCACUUUUUUCACACUCUGUGUCACUCCAUGUUUUGGCUUUGAGAGCUUUUCGAAAUCUUUCAGCUUUUCCUUUCUUCUUUUUCAGAAGAGGACAGUUGGGUCUGAUGUGUCCCUUUUUCUUACAUUCAAAGCAGACUAUGUCUUUGUUUGGUUCCUCAUCAUCAACAGACUUGGUCUGCUGUCUUUGAAAGCUUUGUUUCUUUGAAUUGAACCUUCUUCCUUUUCUAUUCAGUUUUCUGAAUCUUCUUAUCAUGAGAGCAAGCUCCUCAUCGUCCAUAUCUUCUUCAGAAUCUGUAUCAUCAGAAUCAUUAUUUGAUUUUAAUGCAAUGGAUUUCUUACCUUUUGGAUCUUCAUCUUCAUUGAUCCAUUCCACUUCAUAAGACUGAAGAGUUCCAAUUAGCUCGUCGACAGAUAGUGGCAUAAUUCUUUGCGUCUCUCUUAUCGAAGUCUUUAUGUGAUUCUAAUCCCUGGAGAGUCCACGCAGUAGCUUGUUUACCUUCAUGGGAUCAGAAGUUGGUUGACCUUGAUUUUCAAGACCAUUCACAAUAUCUGUAAAACGACUAAACAUGUCAGAUAUAGAUUCUCCUGGUUUCAUUCUGAAGGCUUCGUAUUGACCAAGAAGAAUGUUGAUUAUAGUUUCCUUCACUCGAUCUGUUCCUUCAUAAGUGAUAUGCAAUCUAUCCCAAACUUCUUUUGUUGUACCACAAGAAGAUAUUCUAUUAUAUUCAGUUGGUGAUAAAGCACAAUAUAAGGAGUAAAUUGCUUUUGCAUCGAGUGCUUGUCUUUUGUUUAUUUCUUCCUGAGACAUUCCGCUGGUUUCAUCAGUUUCUUUUCCUCUUUCAGAUACUGAUGCAGUGGUAGGAGUAAUUCCUUUUUCUACAACGUCCCAUUCCAGAGGAUCCUUUGAUCGAAGGAAAGCUUUCAUCUUGUUCUUCCAGAUGUUGUAAUCCUUUCCAUCAAAGUAGGGUGGUCUGGUAUUGCUUUGCCCUUCCAUCAACCCUGGUGCUAGCAUACUAGCCAUGGAUCUUUUACUACGAAGUAAAACACUUCAAAUAAAGUAAGUACACAGGCUCUGAUACCAAUUGAUAUUGCUAGUAUGAGUACCUAGAGGGGGGUGAAUAGGUAUAUAAAGAGUUUUUCUCAAGCAAUUGCACAAUACUAGACAGUUGGAUGAAACGAUAAUCAAAGUAAGACUGAGAGAAGAGAAAAUUUAACACGCGGUUUAUAGUGGUUCGGCUUAUAUCAAGCCUACGUCCACUCUUCUUCACUGACAGCCUAUUGGCUAGAUUCCACUAUGAACAAGAGAGAGGUUACAGCACAGCUUUGCCUUGAUUCCACAGUGUAGAUGUUCUACUACACCUCCUCAAGAUUUCUCACAAAUAUAGACUCUCUCUUUCGUAUACAAGUAUUCGCUCAAAGGAUUUGUCUAAACAAAAAGAAGCUUCAGACUUUGGAAUUAUUCUAUCGCGCACACCUUGAACAACUAAGACAGUCUUCCUUAUAUACUCCUUUAUGCCAUUAUACCCGUUGGCACUUACCAAAGGAAUUCCUCAAAUCUACCCGUUGGACGGAAUCAAUUAGGAAGAUUGUCCAAGCUAUAAAUGGAACGUGUUGAUAGCCCAUCAAUCAUGUUCGCCCAUACAAUCAGGAUCUCGGUUUCCAUAAGCAGAACCUUCCAAUAAUAUUUAGGCAAUCACCGGAUCUUCAAUUAUCGAAUCAAUCUUCGAUCAAUCAAAGGACUCCGUUUAUGUCUUCUCCAGCCAUGAGAUCUUCUCCAGUUGAUAAGGUUAAAUCCUCAACGAAACAUCCAGUUCUGGAUAACCUUUCUUCAACGGAUUAGAGACUGUCAAUGAGGAUAGACUUUGAGUCUUGAGUCUGGCUGUCCCAAGGUCUUCAGACUUUAAAUAGCAGAGUCUGCAAGCCUUCAGACUAGACUGAUAGAAACGAUUUGUCAACUUCAAAACACUUCAAGAAGAUUUCUCCAACACAAUCCUUGUAGCAACCUCUGCAACUUGUGCAGUUGCUCGUCUUCUCACCUAAGAAACACAUAACAAAUGUAAAUUUUAGCCCAUAAAAAGGCCAAACACAGUGAUGUACAACUUACAGGAUAUUUUUUUCUUGUUUGCUCAACGGUGGACUCAGUUGUUAUUGUUGCUGUCUUACCAAUUCUAGUCCUUAUCCCUGCACUUGAGCCUACAACAUGGCCUUUUUCUGGCCCUUUAGUAGGCCUUACAACAAUGUGCUGUAUUAGGAUUAUGACCAACUACAACGAAUAAUUACACAUCUCAUUUUCAUAGUGGAAACACAUGGAGAAAACUUCUCAAAUUACAAGUGCAUGACAGAGGAAAAGCACAAGAGAAGCUAGUACACAUGGUCAACCAUCAAACUCUAUCGAAUAAGAACUGUAAAGUUACUGAGAUAAAGAGGAUACUUACCUUACAGUAUGGCUUUCUGUUGCCCUUUAGUAGACAUUACAGCAGGGCCUUCUGUUCUCCCUUCAAUAAGCCCAACAAGAAACUCUUUGUAAGUCAUGUCCCUGGCAUUGAAUCAACCAUUACAUCUUGCUAUUGAUACUGCUUUUUCAGCUCACAACCUUUCUUAUCGUGCCCUUCCUUGCGGCAAUAGGAGCAUUUCAUAUUUGAUCUAGUCCUACUCAUCCUUUGACUUGAUGCCUCUUCCUAUUGCAUUCUUCGUCUCUUUUUUGGCCUUCAUAUUUGCUUCUUCAGCGGUAAAGGUAGAGGGCUUUAAUGAUUUGUUGGCUCCCAAAAUUUGCUGCUUCUGAUAGGCUACAUCAUGAAUUGGUAUGAAGCAAGGUAUGAGCUUUUUUUGUACCAAUCAUCUAGGUAAUCAUCUAGGUUUUCUUGCUUCAUCUGAAUAGCACAAAUGGCAUGAGCACAGGGAAUUCCAUUCAGUUGCCAAGCUCGGCAUGAACACUUUCUUCUAUCCAAGUUGACAACAUACUUAUCAUGAUUUGGAAUAAUCUCAUACCCAUUAUCUUCAUUCCAAACUGGAUGGCAGAACCUACUAACAGCAAUAUUUGCAUCUAAUCUCUUCACAAUCCUAGGGCCACAGUCUCUACUCCAUUUUGUAGCAUCAUCUCUUUGCCUAUGCAGUCUAGUCAUAACCAUAACUCGAAUAUCAUCAAGCAUGCUGAUGAUUGGUUUGCACCUAGCCUCUAAAAUUCUACCAUUGAAAGCUUCAUUGAGGUUGUUAUCAAUGUUAUCGCAUUUGAACUCUUCGCUGAAGAAGACCCGACACCAGUGCUUAGCUUCUGUCUGGAAGAGUGUAUCAAAACCUUCAUUUGUCAGCUGUAACAAUCCUUGUUUCGCUAAUUUGAAAUCAACCAUAUUCGUACUCUUUGCUAUCUGCCAGAACUGCUUCUACAACAUAUCUCCUUUGAAGUUCCUUGACCAGUUUGCAUAUAUGUGCCUCGUGCACAUUCUAUGCUCAGCAUGUGGCAUCAACUCAGCCAAUGCAGGAAUAAGUCCAUACAAAAAUUCAAACCAAUAAAUACAAGUCAAGAAAAAUAUGCAAGUGAUUAAUAUAUAAAUGAGUGAUUAUUGACAUGAAAUUACCUUCUAUUGGUUGCUCAUGAAUGCCCAUCCUCCCCCAUCGGUUAUCACAAGGUCAGUCAUCAAAUUUUUUAGGAACCAUGACCAAAUAUCCUUGUUCUCUAUCUUUACCACCGCCCAAGUUAUCGGGAACAUUUAAUUAUUGGCAUCUCUCCCCACAGCAACCAACAACUCCCCCUUGCAUAAACCCUUUAGAAAGCAUCCAUCCAAUCCUAUAACUCUUCUACAACCAACCAAGAAGCCCCGUUUGCAUGCAUCAAAACAGACAUAAAAUCUAUCAAAUUUAGGCCAAAGAUCAGGGAGUGGCCUCUUCACAACCUCUACAUAUACCCUACUGGAUGGGUUUUGAAACAUGUAUUCACCAGCAUAAUUCCAUACCUGUGCAUAUUCUUCUUUAUACCCACCCAUCAAUAUUUUCAUCACCCUUAUCUUAGCUCUCUUACAUUGAUUCCUCGACACAUUAACCUCCACUUGCUCCUUCACUAAUUGUUGAAAUUGAGAACUCUUGAUCUCGGGCAUUGCUUUGAUAGUAUUAAAAAAAUUCUUUGAUAACCACACACUUGUUACCCUUUUAUUAUUAAAGAUAAUUGGACAAGUAUGCUCCUCCUGAAAGGACCUAAGCUAGAAUGACCUAUUCUUACUAAGCGCAGCAUAGAGCUUCCAUGAACAAUUAGGUUGUGAGCACUUAGCUCUCACAAAUUCCUUCGUGUUUCUAAUAAAUUUAACGCUCCUCUGUUCACCAAUUGAGUUCUUCACAACAGCUUCCUUGAACUGUUUGGCAUUGUCAAAUCUCAUGCCCACCGACAAAACAGGUUUAUCAACAGUUGAAUCAUAGAAAGGAUACUUACUUUUUCUUCGAGGAGCAGGUUCUUCAUCAUCAUUGUCAAGCUCAUUUUCCGAACUAGUAACUUCAUCGCCACAGCUUUCUUCAUCUUCACUUCUAUUACCCUCAGCUUGAUCUCCAUCCCUAUUUACUGGCUCGGACCUUUUUGCUAAAGCUACAAGUUUUUUUUUCUCAGAAAUUCCCUUUGCUUUUGUCUUGACUGUACGAGUUCAUCAUCAUCUUCGUCACUUGGAAAAUUUACUAAAGCCAAACAUUCAUCUUCCGAUUCAUUAGAUAAAGCAAUUUCCCAUUCUAAUCCAAUGAAGUCUUCAUCGCCCACAUCUUCACCCAAAUCUUCACCCAAAAUUUCAGGACAUCUCCCUCUUUGUUCAUCUCUAUCAAUAUGACUUAUCUCCCUCUCAUUUUGCCCUUCAUCUAACCUAAACUUAUCCCCGACUUGAUUACUCGUUUGAACAAGAUCCCUCACUUCUCCUCCUUCAGUGGUCGUCUGCUCAUCCACAUCCUCAUCCUCAUCCUCACUAUAAUACUCAACAUAUACCUUAACUUCUUCAUUGUGAAGAUAAUGGUAAAUGAUAUCCUUAAUACCAUUAUCGUUGUUAAAAAAUCUUAACCCAUCCUUCAAUUCCUUCCCAGGAACACAGUAAUGUAGUUUUUGCACUUUGCAUCGUAAAAAAUACACCAAAUCUCUCAGAAAAUCAAUAUAUGAUGGCUUCCAAACAUUGACAUAAAUAGUACCUUAAUUUCCACUAUUUUAUUAUCAAUCUUCAGUGCCAAUAACAAACUCUCCACCAUAGUAAACAAUGACGCUUACCUGAUUCGUGUCCAUGUCGAUGCUGCACCCAAUGAAAAAAAAAAGAGUCAUUGUCGUUUUGUUGGAACCACAUGACAGAAUCGACAACUUCACAUGUAGGUCCUUAUCGUUUUGUUGUCAAGGAACAAAUGCGACUAAAAUCUCCCCAAUUCGGUGGAUUUACAGAAAUAAAAGAAACCGAAUUAAAUAAACAAAGUGAGGUCCCCACCACUCAUUUUUCAAUUCAAUCACAUUCACAUUCGGUCCCCCACAAAAGCAGUCCAAUUAAUUAAAUAAAAAAAUUCGGUCCACCACUGUUUCCCUCCGAGUCAAGCCUCUCCGCACCAUUUUUUCUGUUCGGUCCUCACAAUAGAAAACGAACAAACGAUGGAAGAAUCAAUUUUUCUAUUCCGUCCCCAUAAAAGUGACAUCCCCACCACUUUCCCCACUACUUUCCGCUUGAGCCAAGCCCUCAAUUUGCCCUCCGUGCCCUAAUUUGCCCGUCGGAACCCUAAUUUUUUCGCAAAAUUGAUCCACGUAGAGAACAUGACAAACUUGAACGAUCGUGAACAAUGGCGCAACUACAACGGUGGCCAAGCGAUAGUGGGCGAGCGACAGCAGGCGAGCGAACGACGGUGGGUGAACGACAGUGGGUGAGCGAGCUCCGGCCAGCGUCGAGGAGAAUAAUAUACGAACCCUAUUUUACUCCCUCUUCAGCAACAUCGUUUUUUGCUAUGGAGCAACGCGGCGUCGUUUCUUAUGUGAAUCCACGGUGGAUGGCAAGAAACAACGUUGUUUCUUACAAAGAAAGGAAAACGGCGUCGUUUUAUGCUAUCCACCGUGGACAAUCUUAAGCCACAUCGUUUUUUUUUUAAAUAUAAAAGCCACGUAUUUAUUUUGGCCGAAAUUUCUCGCCAGUGGCACCAAAGUGAUCGUUUUUUCUCCGAUUUGGCACUUAAGUGAUUUGACGGAAACUUUUGACACCAAAGUGAGCGCCGUACACAACUUAUGGCACCAUUAGUGUACUUUUCCCCAAGGUUAAGGCUUGCCACACUGAAUGUAACUUCGCUUUGGGACCCAACCAACGCUAGAACGCCACCCGUCUUCAAAAGAGACAUGUAAGGAUCAAAUAGGUGAUCAGCAGAUGCCGUGUCGAUUAUAAAGUCCAGGGACUUAGCCAUGGCCUGCAUGUAUUGGAAUCAUCAGAUCACGGUAGCACUUGACCUUAAUGGAUCUAAAGUAUUGAUAAUUUUAAAUCUUCCCGCCUGCCUUCGUCUAUUCUUGGUCAGAUGAGAUAACGAAGUGGUCAGCACCAAGCAAGCUCAGUGCUUCCUCCUUUUUAGAAAUGCUUGUACUAAACAUAGCGAAUUUCAGUCCAUAAGCCUUCCCAAGCUUAAUUGCCAUGUGACUGAGCCCACCGAGUCCAAUUACACCAAGAGACUUACCCGGUUGGUUCAUCUUGUGACGCACCAUUUGAGUGUAUAUUGUGAUUCCAGCACAAGGCAAUGGUGCUGCUAAAGCCAACGGGAAGUUUUCUGGAAUCCUGAAGCAGUACCUGUUAAUGAAGCACCACAAUUAAGUUUCCAAAUCACACCAAAGGAGGAAGGGAUUUCCCAAUAGAAUCAGCAUCCCAUCUUUUUUGUACAACGGGAUUCAAAUCACAUUUUACUUGCUUAGAGCACAAUUCAACAUCAUGUGGUUUCUGUGAUUCUUUUUCUGACCACAAAUUGCUUAAGACGAAAACUUCUUGCUGUAGCGACGAAAGUAAAGCCACUGCAGCAUACAGGAGGCCAUACUUGAUCAAAAUUGAGAAAAGAGGCUUGCUCUAACAGAGUACACUGGAAGCAUAUUGCAUAUGCAUGGCAGAUCAUGUAAUUUCUCUAUUCCCCUCAAUCAUGUCUCUAAGGGACACGAUAUUCCCGUGACUGUCGAAUACAAGAAUCCGUGAAAGCACGUACAUUUUAUUACCCAUUUGAUCUAACACUUACCAUCUAACUCUUGGAAACAAUCUAAAAAAAGGGAGGAAGAGGAGAUAGAAGGCAAGAAUUGAGCAAUUUCCAUCUGUUUCUCUCUUUUAAUUAAGAGUUAAUAUCCUAAAAAACUCCAAAUUGGUACACAUGUGACAAAUUUACCCCGAUGGACUAUUAAAAACCCUAAAAUUAUAUAUUUAUGACAAAUUUACCCCAAACUAAUUUAUUCGACCACAAAAAAAAUGGUAAAUUUGUGACAAAUAUAUCCUCCACUAAAUUGAAUUAAUACCAUAGUAAACCGUGACAAACGGAGCGUAAAAUCUCAAAUUGAUAUACUAGUCAACUGUCACAUGUCAUUUAACUUAAUAAUUUGACAGUAAAAUUUAAUGAAAACUAAUAGAAGGUAAAUUUGUCACAAGUGUACCAGUUUAGAGUAAAUUUGUCAAAUAUAUAACAAUUUAGAGUUUUUUGUGGUAAAAAAAAAUAGUUUGGAGUAAAUUUGUCACAGGUAUAUCAGUUUGGGGUUUUUUAGGGUAUUAACCCUAUAAUUAAUUUAGUUUUAAAUUUAAUCUUAUUAAUUUUUCAUGAAAAAUUCAUAUGUUAAAUUUAUUGGCUCACAUGUCAUUGUCACUUGAUGUGUAUGAUAUAUAGAAUAGUCCAAGAAAUUUGACUUUAGAUACAUGGGAACCCGCGAAUGGUCAUACAUUGUCGAUUACACAUUCAACAUGAUGUAUUAGCUAAUCAUAGUCCUCUAACGGUUUAUAUUUGCUUAAUAUAUUUCAAGAAUAUUAAUUUGUUAGACUUGUCCGCUCACACGCCGCUGUCACUCGAUGUGUAUGAUAAGCAGAAUAGUCGAAGAGCUUUGACUUUAGAUACUUGGGAGUGUCUAUGCUUGUUUUAUGUCUAUUAUGCUUGCAAUGCUUCUUGUUUUGAGUGGACAGUACAAAUAUUUAAGUCCGUGUCAAUUUGAACAAUUUUCUUUAUUAUAGAGCAACAGUCUUUAAUCUAUUGUGUUCUUGACCACAAAAAACCAAAUAACAAAUAAGUAUAAAUUAUUGUAGGGUCCAACGACAAUCUUUAAUCUAUUGUGUUCUUGACCACAAAAAAUCAAAUAAUAAAUAAGUAUACAUUAUUAUAGGACCCACUCCUUUAAAAAUUUGUUGUUCACAAAAACUUAUUUAUUCUCAUAAUAACCCAAAGUUAUGCUAGCAAAAAUGCAAUUUAAUCCUAAAAUUUGUCACGAAAUGCAAUUGAGUCCUAAAAUUUUCAAAAAGUACAAUUAAUUAUAAAGAUUUAUCAAAAUUGGUCCAAUUUAAGUCAUUCCAUUCAUUGCAAUUUUUGAAAGUUUUAGAGCUCAAUUAUGCUUUCCUAACAAGUUUUAUGACUUAAUUAUAAUUUUUGAAAAUUUUAGAACUUAAUUGUAAUUUAUGAUAAGUUUUAGGAUUUCUAGUACACUUAUCUUUUUUUUUUGUUUUUCACCUCAUUAAUCUUUUUUGCAACAAUGAGCUUGACAUAUCUCUGUUUUGAGGAUUUCAGUGGCUAGGGGAAACACAGGGAUGUCCUCUAAUGAAUCAACAAUCUUCCUGCCAUGACAAUGCCGGAAGAGAGAUGAGUGUCUUACAUAGUUAACAAAAAUGUUCAUGUUAUAAUUGGUAAGCAUUCGCUUUCCCAACGUGCAUGAACAUUUCCGGCGAUGAAACAUUCGUGAGGAGCCAGUAAAGACAUCCUGUUAUUUAAACCGGCAAGAGGAUAUCGAGCUUGCUCUAUUGGCAAGUAUAUUGUUGUCAGAUAAGCCUAAUAAAUCCGAUAUUUUCAUACAAAAAAUCGUCAUCGAGGCCAACUUAAUCCAAAAUGCCAAUGGACAGGCUUGGGUAAGCUAGUGGAUAGGUAUGCCGCUUUAUCUUAUGUCGUGUUAUCUCACGAGAGAUGGUGCUGCGUUCUCUUUAGAAUGCACAUGACUUGGGAUAGGAAAACCUUAGGAUCCGACUAGGAGGAAGGAAAAAAGCAAUCUAUUGUCGGGCCAAUAUAAGAUCAUUUCAUGUCAAACUCCGCAGUCUUGAGGCCAUGGAAUCUACGACAUACUUGCUCAUUCACAAGGACUGAGCAAAUAAAUGAUAAAAUAAGAGCAAUGGUCGUCAUUGAUCGUCUGCCCUUUAACUGAUUGGAUUCUAAAUAUUUUAUUUUCAAUUGGGGUCUAAAUAUUUUAUUUGAUUCAAUUGACUUCUAAAGAUUUCCAAUUUUAGUCAAUCAAGUCCCUCAAAUAUUAUCCUCGGAAAGAGCCACAUGGCUGUGAUUUUCCUAGUGGCUAAGGAGAUGCUUGAGGAGAAAACCUGUAGGAGAGGCGAAGCCAUCCAAGCAGAACUCUCAAGAAGUCAAUUUUUCAGACAGUUUCUCAAUCAUCACAUAGAGAAGUACCAGGAUUUCAUUACCCAUUUCACUUGUUUCUGCUAUAAAACUCACGAGUAUCGAAGUAUAUCAGGCAUAGUUUAUUUGUACUCCAGCAGAGCAAUUAAGAAGGCAUAGAUGAUGCUCUCCUCUAGCUGAAAGCCCGAAACUCCCACUUUUCCUCUGUGUGAUCAGCCUUGCCAGCAACAAUUUCCAACUACCCAAAUUGAUGUUGAAAUUUAAUCAAAUAGACUCAGAGAAGAAAACAAACAAGAGAAUUGUUGCUGUAACUUUCGUUACUUUAUUCAUCAGAACAUAAGCCUAUUAAAUAGGCAGAACAUCCAAACCACUUAGCAAGACAAUAGCUAUAGAACAACAACAAAGACCCACUAACAUACCCCACUAACCAGAACAUAUGCAGAAACUAACUCCUAAAAACAAGCCACAUCCUAUUGACUAGGACUCCACUAUUACAUUAUUGAAGACACGUAAAAACUGAAAGUUAACUACUUCAACAAUUGAUGGUGUCACUUCAAGGAGUUCUCAAUGUCAAUCACGAAUCGAUACUUAACAUCUCUCUUGAUGAGCCUCUCCAGAGCUUCGUUGGCGUAAUCGAUCGGUAUCACUUCAAUGUUUGGGUAUAUCUUCUGCACCGCACACAAGUCUAUCAUUUCUUGGGUAUUCUUUGUUCCUCCCGUUACGCUACCCGUAACAGUUCUCAUAUCUGCCAAAAGUUCACCGCGAGCAACUUAAUUCACCUAUCAGGUAUGAAAUUUCAUUUAGUAAUCAGAUUUGAGAACAAAAACAUACUGAGGUUAAGGCUGGCUGGACUGAAUUUAACUUCGCUCGGGACGCCGACCAAUGCUAGAAUGCCACCCGUCUUCAAAAGAGACAUGUAAGGAUCAAAUGGGUGAUCACCGGCUGCCGUGUCGAUUAUAAAGUCCAGGGACUUAGCAAUGGCCUGCGUGCAUUGGAUUUAUCAGAUCACAACAGAAUUUGACCACCAUGGAUCUCAAUGUGGAUAAUUCUAGUUUUUCCUCUUUUUACCUUCAUCUGCUCCAGGUCAGAUGAGAUAAUGAAAUGGUCAGCCCCAAGCAGGCUCAGUGCUUCCUCCUUUUUAGAAAUGCUUGUACUUAACACUGUGACUUUCAGUCCAAAAGCCUUCCCAAACUUAACUGCCAUAUGACCGAGCCCACCAAGUCCAAUUACACCUAGAGACUUACCAGGUUGGUUCAUCUUGUGACGUAUCAUUGGAGUGUACACCGUGAUUCCAGCACAGAGCAAUGGCGCUGCUAGAUCCAUCGGGUAGUUUUCUGGAAUCCUGAAGCAAUACCUGUCAAUGAAGCACCACAAUUAAGUUUCCAAAUAACACCAAGACAGGAAGUGAUUUCCCAAUAGAAUCAGCAUCCUGUCUUUGUUGUCUAAAAGGAAUCAAAUCACAGAGCCAGAAAUCCUAUCUUCCACAUGCUUGGGAAUUUUACUUGCUUAGACCACAAUUCAGCAUCAUGUUGUUUCUGUGAUCCUUGUUCUGACCACAAAUUGCUCUAGACAAACAUUUCUUGCUGUAGCAACGUAAAUAAAGCAAUUGCAGCAUACUGGAGACCACACUCGAUUAAAAUUAAGAAAAGACACUUGCUCUAAGAAAGGAAACUAGUGGCAUAUCAUGUAUGCUUGACUGAACACGUAAUUUUGUAUUUCCUUCAAUCAAUUUCUCCAAAGGACUCAAGAUUCCUGCGGCUCUAUCAGAAACAAGAAUUAGUGAAAGCGCAUACAUUUAGCUACUCAUUUGAUCUGAUACUUAUGAUCUAACUCUAACAAUCUAAGGACAGCUUAUUCCAUUCUUGACAAUGGUUAUUCAAAAGAAAGAAUUUCUUUUCGCAUUUAAUAAAGCCAGUUCUCCAUUGAAUGGUUUGAAUGGUAAUUGGAUACAGAGGACUUAAAGACUCUCCAGAGUCGUUAUAGAAAGUAUCUUUAUCCCUUUCCACAAGAUGCAAUUAAUGCCUAAAAGCCAUUCCUCACAGUCCUAUGCAUUAUGCCACUUCUGGUCACAAUCAGAAUAAGAAGAAAAUUAGCAGAGAAGAAGACAUGACAUGAAAUCUUUUUUUGGCCACCAUGAUUUGGAAUUCUGUCACAGUGCAAAAUGCUGCCUAAUAACACUGUGUCAGUAAGCAAUUACCUUUCAUGGACGACAAUGUGACUAGAAUAUCCUCCCUUUGUCACUGUACCAUCUGCAUCAAUUCCAUCAAAAGUCAUAACCGACUUUUCACAUUGGACUUCUAGCCUGUCAUUGCAAUACUCGCACUCUCUGCAUGAAUUGACAUAAGUUCCCACCCCCACAUGAUCGCCAACUUUGAAGCGUUGGACACUGGAGCCAACCUGUUUCACAAUUCCAACUAUCUCGUGCCUGAAUCAAUCAAAAAAAAUUUUCGCAAAUUUUGUUCAGAGAAUUAUGAGGAUGGUGCUAAGAAAAAAGAUUUAACAUUUGAAUCCCGCUGCAUCCUACCCCGGCACCAGAGGAUACUUGGAGUGUCCCUGCACAUUCCUAGUCCAAGCCACAUCUGCGUAGCACACUCCACAGUGCGUGAUCUUAAUCGAGACGUCUUCGCUUCCCACGGCCCUAAAGAGAUGAUUCCCAAACAGGUGAGCAUAUAAUCCAGUGACUAAUCAGACUAGGGUGCCCUUUUUUUCCAUUUUCAAGAUCAACAAACUAAACUUGACCUACGAUUAUUGAGGAAACAAGAAACCAGAAAUGAGAAAAGGAAAAAUUCCAUGACUACAAGCAUAUUUGUCCAUACGGUAGAUACAACCUCAAAUGCUCAGAAAGGCAGCCAGUACAGGAUCCUCAUGUCUGCAGCCAGUACAGGAUCCUCAUGUCUGCCAUGAAAUUCUGAGUAACCCAUAACCAACAAUUCUCGACUCAGAAUUCAGCGCAUACACAACAAAAGAAAGAACGAAAAAAAAUGAAAUGGUCUGGACCGAAACUGUCUCUCGUGAACACUGUACUGAGACUCUCGCAUGAACACUUCGGUAGAAAUCGAAAAAGAAAAAAAAAAAAAAUGGCAAUACCUGCGGGUGAAUUUGUAGGGGGAGAGGAACCCAGAAGGGUCCCGGGCAGCCCAACCGAGGCAAUCCUCCUUCCCACCCUCCGAGCUCAUCUUCUGCACCUACACACCCGGCGAAGCAAUCACACAAACAGGUACGGUUAGAUUCAUCCAAAGAAGAAGAAGAAAGGGUGAGAACGCGAACGAGAGAGUGCCCAAGAUCAGAGACUCGACGGGUCAUCACACGGCGACGACUCGAGUCACAACGAGCUCGCCAUCACUCAUCAACUCACUCACUCACCCACCCCCACCUACCCAAGCACAACCCCACAGCAACUCAGAGAGAGAGAGAGAUGACUACGGAGAUGGAGAGAGGUUACGCGGUGGUGGAGUAUGCGGUAGCGCGAAGAGGGUGAUGAGCCGAGCAGAGUCGAGGACGGGAGGUUCAACGAAGACUUUUGCCCCCUCCUACUUUGCAGGAAAGCUACGAGUCGUCGUAUGGAUUUUAUGGCGGUGGCCCCUAGGCUCUAAAAGAAGGUUCGAGGAGCCUACUGCCUAGCCUUCUUUUGCUGUUGGUUUCAAUAUCUGCUGCUUUUCCGCCUUAGCCCAACCGACAUCGCCCUCAAAAGACAUCAAAGAUAAGGUAGUUGGAAGGAAACAUCAUCCGAAACUUAAAGAUGGGGUAGUUGGAAGGAAACAGUAUACGAAACUUUGGUUCAAUAGGUAACGUGAUUUUCUAAAUUUUUAAUUUACCCAAUAUGAUUUUUUAAAAUUUUGGUAUAGAUUCAACUUAGUCUUUAGAGUAUAUAUUGUCGCAAAUUUUAAAUUAAUAAAAUGACGACGUUGAAUAUUUUCAUAUGAUCAAAUGACAACAUUAAAUAUGUACUAAAAUUUUGAAUAAUAUUGAAUAUUUUCAUAUAAUUUUGAGAUUAUAUAGAAUAUGUAUCAAAGAUCAUUAACUAUAUAGUUCCGUUCAAUUUGCGGAAAAUAAUUUCCGAAAAACCGUUUUUCAGAUUUUUCGACAUUCAUUUCAUGAAAAAUGAAUUCAUUGGGAAAAAUGUUUCUUCUAAAUUAAGGGAAAAUGUUUUCCACUUUUAAAAAGUGAAAAACAUUUUCUUCACUCGAUCUCUCUUAUCUUACACCUCUAAAAAUCUCUACUUUAUCCUCACAUUUCUUUUUCUUCUUUUCUUUUUUUAAUUCAAAUUAUUUUUAAUUUCCUUUUUAUUUUAUUUUUAAUUUUUCUUUAUUUUUCUUUUUCUUUUCUUUGUUUCCCAUCUUUUCUUUCUUGGCUAGUUGUCAGUCAUUACCAAGCGAAUCUCGAGUUCGUCAAUCUUAAGCUCACACUCUGUACUCUUACUUAUCAUUUUCUUUAUUUACUCUAUCCUGCAGUUGUAUAUUGCUCAAACAAAUGGCUCUACAUGCUUUGCUUCUUUUUUCUUUUGUUUAUUAGAACACAAAAGACGCAUGAGAGAACAGGCCACUCAACUGGAAGAUUCUCAUUAGGGCUGUACAUGCUUUGCUUCUUUUCUCUUUUACUUCUUUUUAAAAUCCAUACAGACAUUUUUUAGAGUAGAUGAGCGUUUGACAACAAUGAGGGAACAAAGAUAUGCUCGAAUUUAAAUGCAAGUUCAUAUUUGAUGGGUUUAUAGGUCGGUAAGUGAUGCAUGCCUAAGUGGUGAAGUCUUAGAAAAUAUUUUCCUUACCAAACACCGAAAAAUAAUUUUCGAAACAUUUUCAAGUUUUAGCUUAACACUAGAAAAUAUUGUAAUUUUCCUAGAAAAUGAUUUUUGGAAAAAUAUUUUCCGGAAAUGACCAAUUUUUCACGAAACGAACGGACCCUUAGUCUCGGGAGUUUCUAUGUUACAUAUGAUCUAGUCCUUCAACUUUUCUAUUUGUAUACACUCAAAUCUUUUGUCAUAUUCAGUUUUUAUGCAGUUAAGUUUUAUUUUGUUCAUUCAAAUCAUUCAAUGUUCUCGACUAGUGCAAUUGAGUGCUUCACUCACCCAUCAUAACACACAAUUCCAUUUUUCUUUUUCCAAGUUUGCUUUUCGCUCAUUUGGCACCACCUCAACAUUGUGCGAUAUUUUCUACCUCAAUGAUAAUACUAUGUUAUUGAUUACUAUGACACAUUCAGCAAGAGGAUUUACUGAACGAUUUAAUUGCACGAAUCAAGAAAGUUAGAAGACUUGAUUGAACAAAAUAUAAAGUUAAGAGGAUCAAAUUGUGCCGAUAUGGAAAUUUGGAUGACUAAAAUUGCAUCAAACCCUUUUAUAGGGAGAUGGGUCAGCCACAAUAACAUAUUCUUUUUCAGUGACUGGCUUUGACACAACCAAUGCAACAUUAGUACGAAAAUGAAAGAUGAGUGGACAAAAGAAGGGCAACAGAUGUUAAACGAAACCUGUUUCCCAAAAGCACCAUGCAGAAACUUCCUUUCAUUGGAAAAUUUUUCUUGAAACGGAACUAAAGAUUACUGGCUUCGACAUAACCGAUGAACAUACCAAGAGCUGAGGCCUUAUCCAACAACAACGUGAAAAUGAAAAAUGAGUUGAAAAGAAUGGACAGCAGCUGUCAAAUUAAACAUUUUUUCCAUGUCUCGUUCAGAACUUGUCACUCCUUCAUUACAAUCUUGACCCUUUUGAAAUUGGAAGUGAAGGUUACUGGCUUCGACAUGACCAAUGUAUAACUUGUCGCUCAUGCAAUAUGGUAUAUAGAAAUGAAAGAUGAGUAGAAAAAGAAAUGGACGAUUGCUGUCAAAUUAAAACCUUUCCCAAGUCAACUUGUCGCUCCCCUUCCUUCCAUUAAAAUGCUUUUAUGGUGGAACUGAAGAUUACUGGCUUUGACACAACCAAUGUAAACCCUCCAAGAGGUGAGAGAACUUAUGCAAAAGUAUAAAAAUGAAAGACGAGUCAAAAAGAUGAGGACAAUAACCAAAUGCGUGCAACUCAAUUGCACUUUUUGAUAAGGAUAAACUGCACCUCUCCUCAUCAUUGAAAGAGAUAGGAUUAAACGCAGACGUGAUUGACAUAGAGAUUCUUACUAGAAAUUAAAUAAAAAUAAGUCUUUCUUGGUAACAGGAUGUUUGUUCUCGUGACCGUGUAGGUCUUUCUAGGUUCUCUGACGCGUGCCAUGAGGUCAUGGCAUGUUAUGCAACCAGAGAUAUCCAUUCCAUAUUUCUAUGGUAUCUAUCCAUCGUUACCUCCCGUGAACCUAAGAAGAACAAAACCAAUCCAUAAAGCUGGAGGAUCAAGAACAACCCGCCCUAAGUUAUUGAUGAACUGAGUUAACUGUUUGAAGCCUAAGUAGCGAAUCAUUUAAAGUUUAAGCUACUAAAAUGUCAGAUGCCAAACAGAAGGAAAAUCUACAGAGCCAACAUCUGCAUCGGAUCAACGAUGGCAUAUCAACAACUAAGGGAAAAAUCUGCUACUAAAUAUUUAUCUGAAACUAUAAGCGAGGAUCACGUUGCACUUGCAUAAGUCUGUUAACGCAGGUCAAUGGUCAUGUUCUGGCCAGCUAUGUAAGAAGUUUGAAAACUCUACACGGACAGGCACCAUUUGCAAGAAGACCUGUUCCCUCAAAUGCUCAUCUUUGUACUGAGCUGGAAAUGCUUUUAGCAGAUGACUGUGCCUCCAGAAACAAAUCGCAUGAAGUGGCCCACAAUUCUCUGGCAAGUCCAGUGUCGUACGAAACUAAAGAAGAGUUGAUAGUCCGGCCCUUCCCACCAAAGAAUACACACCAGAAAUUUCCUAUAUUUGCAAGACAGCGGCUAUUAGUAAGCACUGUUCCAACAUAUAAUAGCAGCCGCAUAAGAUUGAUACCACAGAUUAUCAGCAGAGAAGGGAAAAUCAAUUCUGGAAACACUCUGUCAUACCGUAGAAUCAACAUUAAUGGAUUUUACGUCCAAUGCUAGUACGACCUCAAUUGAGGAUAAAACGAGAGAGACUCAUUCAAGAUGGUUCAGAUAAGUGAAGCACCAGUACAGGAAUGCUUUACACCAGCCCCAUUUAGUGGGAAAAAAUCACUAUCACCCAUAUCUGCAGCUGUGGUUGCCUAUUGAGAUGAAACACAAGUGAUUUCAUUGCAGUCCCAUCUAGCAGUCCCAUCUAGCAUAUAGCAGAAAUUAAAGAUAACGAUUGCAGUCAGAAAAACACAUAAGAGAAUUGUUGCUGUAACUCUCGUUACUUUAUUCAUCAGAACAUAAGCCUAUUAAAUAGGCAGAACAUCCAAACCACUUAGCAAGAAAAUAGCUAUAGAACAACAACAACAAAGACCCACUAACACACCCCACUGACCAGAACAUGUGGAGAAACUAACUCCUAAAAACAAGCCAUUUCCUAUUGACUAGGACUCCACUAUUACAUUAUUGAAGACAUGUAAAAACUGAAAGUUAACUACUUCAACAAUUGAUGGUGUCACUUCAAGGAGUUCUCAAUGUCGAUCACGAAUCGAUACUUAACAUCUCUCUUGAUGAGCCUCUCUAGAGCUUCGUUGGCAUAAUCGAUCGGUAUCACUUCGAUAUUUGGGUAUAUCUUCUGCGCUGCACAUAGGUCUAUCAUUUCUUGGGUAUCCUUUGUUCCUCCCGUUAGGCUACCUGAAACAGUUCUCAUAUCUGCCAAAAGUUCACCACGAGCAACUUAGUUCACCUAUCAGGUAUAAAAUUUCAUUUAGUAAUCAGAUUUAAAACAAAAACAUACUGAG
RNAcentral lists this long non-coding RNA (60657 nucleotides) under Eucalyptus grandis. RNAcentral describes it as "long non-coding RNA (EGRA_LNC002639)". The record is from RNAcentral. Lineage: Eukaryota; Viridiplantae; Streptophyta; Magnoliopsida; Myrtales; Myrtaceae.